This 50205-nucleotide long non-coding RNA is filed under the name Malus domestica (apple). The record is from RNAcentral. Lineage: Eukaryota; Viridiplantae; Streptophyta; Magnoliopsida; Rosales; Rosaceae.
CAAAGAAGAUAUGAAGAUCCCAAGUCUCACCUUCGCCUUCCGCUACAAACGAAAUUUGGGAUAUGGGUUAUGUAACCCACUUUUGGAUUCAAAUAAAACGUUUCAGGAUUAGGAAGAAAACCCAUAUAGGAUUUCAAGACAACCCCAAGGCCACUCCAUCAAUUUGCCUUAAUAGGAAUUGGAAGGGGUUCAUACCGUACCGAACCAGGAUAGACGUAAAUACAUGCCUUUUAAUUGAUUUACCACAGCUGAACGAUGGGUAGUCACUUUUCAUGAAAAUGAAACCCUAAAAUUUGUUCUAAACUUUCAUAACAGCACUUUAGUUGAUGCUCCAUUAUAGCUUAUGUGUGAAAAUAUUGAAUUAAAUGAUGCUCAUUUAUAGGGUAAACGCAUCUAUAUAUGCAUCACAAGCCUUUAAAUUUAAAGACAAGGGUUCCUUUAACAAUAGAGUUGACGGUCUCAUCAUAAUCAAACUUAUGUUGUUGAUCAGUGGCGGAACCAGGAAUUUAAAACAUGGGGUAAAAAAAUAGCUUUAAAAAUUCCAUCAUACUUUCAUUUAUAAUUGUCCACGGUGUGUUCUCAUAUUUUAGAAACAUAGAAUCAGAACAUUUUUAUCAAUAGAACCAAAAACAUCUUUCUCAAUGUACACAACCAAACUAUCAUUCAACCCAUCUUAUUAAGAUGUGGAUUCUUCAUAAUUUUCAUCACCGAAAAAACUAUUUCAACUGAAGCAGUUGCAACAGUUAAAAUCAAUGUUAAUUUCACUAGCAAGUACACCAAGGGAUAUUGUCGGUCCCUCUUUGUCUCCGUCAACUUUUGUGCAAGGCUACUAAUCCCUUUCAACGCAGAAAACUCAUUAUGCAAACGACGUAGCUUUGUUAAAUUAGAAAGGUAUUAAUUUUUUUUUUAAGGGAUAAGUUUAGAAAAGGAUAAGUUUACAAGUAAAAGGUUAUUGGGAUAAGUUUACAAAGCAACGUGCUGCUGCAAAGCUGCUGUUGCAGGCUACUAUACGGGUUCAUAAAAUUUUCAAAGGGAUAACUUGACAAGGUUAUUGGGGUCAAAGGAUGCCAAUGCCCCCGCGUUGGCUCCGCUAGUGUUGUUGAUGACAACUUUUGGCAACAAGGCAAACUUCAUAGCAUUUAUUGGUGCCAAUGCCAUUUUAAUUGCGCUUGAUACGGAAUAGAGACUUGAAAACUCUCAUCACGUCCCUAAUCAAAUUUCGUGAACAGAAAGAGGAAUAUGGAAUGUCUUGUUAAGUUUAUUAUAAUCAAGUUUCAUAUGGUUAAUAUGGUACGUACUAUAUAUAUGUAUAUACCUUAUACAUUAUUUUGCCUAAGUAUUUUCUAUAUUAACAUGUGAACUCCCCAUAAGAAAUUUUUGGAAUGCUACUAACAACACCCAUUAACAAACAUAUAUAACAUAUAUAUAUAUAUACACACACACACACACACCAUAUAUAAAGAUUCUGCCAGUUAUAUUUCUUAUCAGUAGCAGAGGCCCCGGAGGAGAAAAAAUAACUAGUCUCUCGCCUCCCCUCUUCACUCUCUUAAACACUUCCCUCUUACUAAUUCAUCUCACUUCUUCUCAUCGAAAGACAGAAAGACGAGGAGGCAACAAAGGGAAUUCGAAAUUGUGGAGAUAUCGCUUCGCCUAUCUAUAUAAAAAAUUCUUCCUCGCUGCUUUCUUGAUUGUCUAGCUAGGGUUAGGGCUUUCUUUUUCUUUUCUUUUUUUUUUUUUUGUCAAAGGUUAGGGUUUUCUUUUUCCAAUAGACUCAAAAUUUAGCUAUAGAACUCUAAAAUUAUUCUCAUCGUGGGUUAAAGAAUAAGGAUCAUAAAUAAAUGUAUUAAAUUUAGGGUUGAUUAAUUAUGAACGAAUUAUUUUCCUUUUCUUAAUCCCAAAGGGUGUAUUCAAUUAGGAUUUUAAGGAUUUUAAUUCUUUUUAUGAAUAUUUAUCGUUCUCUGACCAUUAAUUUAUGCAAAUGAAAUGAUCACUGAUUCUUGUUCUUGUUAAUUCCUCUUUGCAGUUUGUUGUGAUAAAUCAAGUAAAACCUAAAAAAAAUGUCGUCAAACACUCAUUCACCGUGCGCUGCGUGCAAGUUUCAACGGCGAAAAUGCACGCAAGAAUGCGUGUUCGCCCCCUAUUUCCCACCAGACCAACCUCAAAAAUUCGCAAACGUUCACACGGUUUACGGUGCGAGCAACGUCGGCAAGAUCCUGAACGAACUCAAUGUUGCAUACCGUGAAGAUGCGGUGACGUCAUUGGCCUAUGAGGCAGAGGCUCGUCUUCGGGACCCGGUGUAUGGUUGUGUUGGUUUCAUCUCAUUUCUCCAGAACAGGCUUAAGCAAGUCCAGACUGAUCUCUACAAUGCCAAGAAAGAUCUGUAUGCCUAUGUUGGCCCUCAGGCAUUGAUGAUCCCUCUGUUGGGGGCUACCACUGGCCCUCCGCCCCAGCAGGGCUGCAGGGGAGGCCAGCUUUUGAUUCGCGACCAACAUCAGCAGCAAUUGUUCGAGGCUCAUCAGCAAGAGCUUGUCAGGUUCAAUAUCAAUGGGAUGGACGCCGCAGCGAGUUUGGUUAAUGGAAAUGGGUUUAGUCAGAUUCCCGCAGCUGCUGCUAGUACCGGUGUGGUGUCUGGUUCAUUGGGUUUGGGUGGAGCUUUUGAUAAUAACCAUUAUAACCAGAUCCAACAAGAAGCAGCUGCACAUCACCAGAAUUCCCUAGACCAUCAGCUUCAGGCUCGGCUGAUGCUCCAACCACACCCGGCCCAGGAAUCACAGCAGAAAUCAGAAGGCGAGGAGAGUUGAGAUUCUCCAUUGCAUGCCUGCCUUCUUCAAUAAACAAUUGCCCAUCCUUGGUAUGUACUAUGUACGUAGUACACUUUAUUAAUUCAUCCAUUGAUCGAUAGAGUAAAAUUGUACUAUAAAUUAUAAGAAAGUUGUUAUUAGCUCUCCAAAAUGAUUAUCCUGCACUUCAAUUUAUAAACAUACGAAUAAAAUUUGUAUAGAAAGAAGUGUGUGAUUCUUUUUGAAGUGUCAAUAACAGCUCCAACACCAAAAUAAAAAAAUUAAAAUUCUGGUUAUUUUUCCUGUUUGGUAGUUUUCUACUGUUUAUAUUUGCAUUAAGUGAUUGUGGUCUUAGGUUUAAGUUUGUGCCCAUGAAAGUGCUUCAGAAUUAGACGUAUGCUUUUCUUAAACGGGCAAAUGUUAUAUAAUGCUUUGACGUGCAAUUCGAAUUAAUGUUCCACGACUAAACUUGUAGCCAUAUCACCUUCUCAAUUCUGUAAGAUUUUUUUUGACGAUAAUUGGCAUUAUAUAUGGAUUCUUACUGGCAAAAUAUAUAAUCGGUGCCCUAUUAUAUGAUACAUAUUCUUCCGUCAGUAACACAUCAUUUGCAUGCCAAAGUGUGUGUGGGAACAAAACUGAUUAGAAAUAUGGACUUCUUACUUUAUUUUUCUAACAAAGGGUAGUUGAAGUACCAAUUGUUUGGUAUUUAAUUUGAAACCAAUUUAUAGUUUUAGAAAUGAUGAAUGAAAAUAUUGAAGCUAAUACUCCUUGAUUUCAAAAACAAAAAAAUAUAACCAAAAGGAUACGAAACAUGACCUAAACUUCGAUCGUAGAGGGCUUCUUAGGAUUCAUAAACAAUAUUUGAUCACCAGUGUACUCUUAGUAAGUUUGUUGCCCUUUAUCAUUUCUUCAAGGUCUACGUGUUUACGUAUUUGCUGUGCAAAAUCAGUUCUUUAAAUUUCUUUUCGAUUUCCCUUUUUGGAGAGAAGAGUGUCUUUCUUUGCUCAUUGUGGUGAGAAAGUUUGUUUCUGUGCUUUGAAUUUGUCCUGAAUUUUAAUAGAAGUUUGAAUUUGCCUUAGUCACUUGAGUUGCAAGCUCUUAGCCCAGUUUUGUGCAUGCUUUGUAUUUGUAAUUUAUCCUUUUUAUAUUGGAAAGGCUCACACAUAAACCACUCACAACCUAGAGCUCCAACUACACCAUUGUACUCUAUCAAAUUUCUCACACGUUCAUGAUGAGUAACAAUCUUUGGCUCUCAAGUUUCUCCUACAUUCAUUAAUUUGGUGUUUUCUUAAACCUUUGCACCCUUUUGUGUUGGGUUCUCCUGGCACAAUCACUUUCUCUUGACAGCAGCCGCCCCUUGACAGAGACACUCUCUCUUGCCCUUGAUACGGGACCUUCUUGUGUGCUCUGGAGUACUCGGUACUACCAGUGUUUUAACCGUUAGAUGUACUCAUGUACUUCUGUGCUUUAUCUUUUGUAUAUUGUAGUUUUCCUUCGGGUUUUAUCUUAUAUAAUUUUGUUGAUGAAUGCAAGACAUCAUGACAAAAACAUAGAAGGAUGCUAUAUGUAUCGAAGGAAAAUUUUGAAUUUGCUACAACAUAGAGGUUUAGAACUGUGGAAUGUCUUUCAGUACAUUGUAUAACUACUCCCGUGAUUUGUUAAUUAAAUGAUUAUUUCUUUACUUAUUUCCUCUAUUCCCCUCCAUUCUUUGCAGUUUAAUUUGUAAGUCCAGCACAGAGGUGAAGAUACAUACUGAAAGAUAACUCCAUUUAUGAGACUCCACUAAGAUGUGCAAGUGUAGCCAGACACUAUAAGUUGGUGAGGGAUUGGUUUCGAGCUUAAAGAAAAACUCUGAUUGGUGAUGUGAUUGAAUUGUAAAAUUAUGUUCUUGAGCAAAGACUUUCUUCCGAUGUGCAUUCUCCAUUGGUUUUCUAGUUAUUACUUAUGUUGUAGCAGUGGUUGGCUGGUUGGUUUUGACAUUUUGCAACGACAAUUGUUGUUAUUGGUAAUAAGCAGUAGUUAAUCGUUGUAGUAGUUCUUAGAUCCCACUUAAUGUGACAGUCGUACUAUGUGUUCUGGAGGUCCUAUAUAUGUUUUUAACAAAUAAGAGACUUUCAUCAUGUAUUAAGAUGAGUUGGGAACCACAAUUUGAAAAAAUUGUUACUGCAUACCUUUACAUUCAUUGUGAUUCUCGUUUAGUUAUGUAUGGAGUAUCUAAACAUCUUUUUAUUUCUUGUAUGCCAAUUUUACAUGUAUUAAUCAACUUUUUCAGAAACAUUUAAAGCUCUGGACCCUAAACCACUACUAGAAAUCUUGGCAUAGGGCACCUUUUUUGAAGUGUGGAUAUGGCAUGUUAGACAUCUGUUAAAGGUGCCCACUGAGCAUUAGGCACCAAGUGCGCACCGUACCAUCAAGAGUUCCCUAUAACAUAGUUUCUAAAGAUCAUUAGGCAACAAAACCAUCUUUGCGUAAGAAAGCCUUGCCCUAUGCCAACAUUUCUUGUAGUGAACCCUUAGCAAAUAAACUUUCAUGAUAACAAGAUUGGAAACUUUUCGGUUGGCACUUGUGAUAACACCUAUCAUGUUACAUUCCACUCAGCAAUAAAAUUUUCGAUUGUCACUUUAAAAAAAUUAUUGUGCAUCCCACUUUAUUUAUUUGUAUAAGAAAAAGUACAACUCAUCCCUGAUAUAAAGGGUUUAGUCGCUGUUGAAUUUCUACUAAUACAAAACACCCCUAGACAUAUCUAGCAAUACAUGCUGAGGAUGGCAUCUGCAUGCUCUUGCACCACCUUCCAAGCUAUGACUACGUGUUUUUCCUCCGUGAGAGUUGCACCAAUUGCACAACGUAACACAUACAUACCUCCCACCACAGCUGAGUCAUGUACACACGACCUGACCCAUUGAUGGCCUUCAGUAACCUGCAAUUUACCUCGUUAAUUACACCGUUUUCAUCACUUGGAAUUGGAGUAUUGUUGCUAAUUGCCGACGGUGAAACCCUGAAACAAACCAAAGAGAAAUUCCUCGGGACAACAACUUCAAACCUUUUUUCCAUCCCCACAAGCCCUUCAAAACGCUUGGCCAUUUUUACAUCACUUCUAAAUUCUAAUAAAGUUUCUAAGGUUUUCCACUCCAUAGUUUCUAAGCACAAGCCAUAGCUUCGUGGCCGGAAACCCUCGGGUUAAGGCUAUCUGCCAGUCUUUGUUGUCCACCAUUUGCUUUGAAUCUGUGGCCUUGUUCCUCAACCCCUCAAGAUUCACAGACAUUGAGUUUGUCAAUGCACUUGGAUUCUUAACCCAAAGGCAGCAACAAUUGAGAGUAGUGAAGAACCAUUUAUGCGCACUGAGACUGAACGAAUUUGCACACUCAAUUCCAUCAAUAAAAUGACGAAACUCAGGGCAAAUGCAAGCAUUCCCGGCAUAUGCAGCGUCCACAUGAACCCACAUGCCAUAAUCUUUUGCAACAUUGCAUAGUGGCCCCAAUGGAUCAACGGCAGCGGUUGCGGUUGUUCCUACUGUGGCACAUAAAUAAAAUGGAACCAACCCAGAUUUCACGUCUGAACAAAUCACCAAUUGUAGCAAUUCGGGUGAGAGUGCAAAUGAUGAUGAUCUUGUAGUCUCAAUGGCCCAAAAAAUUUUCGAGUGGAUUCCAACAAUUUGAGAAACUUUUUGGAGUGCACUAUGUGUUUGAUCUGAUCCAUACACCAAAUUUCCUAUAUUCUCUUUACCGAUUUGACUUAAGAUUUGAUCUCUUGCAGCUACCAUGGUGCAAACUACGGACUCAUGCGUACUCCCAUGUAACACACUGUUGUGCCUUGGUCCGUUCAUCAGUGCGGAAACGAGAUUCAGAUUACAACCUCACCAAAAUCACACUCAGUUGAACAGAAUAAAAUACAAGAAAUAAAGACACCGAGAAAUUUACGAGGUUCGGCAAAAAUCCUGCCUACGUCCCCGGAGAGAUAUUGCUCUUCACUAUGAGAAUAACAGUACAAGUACACAUGAGUUAAAUCAACAUAACCCAAUCCCAAAUCCCUUGCACACCCACUCAUAGAAUUUUCCCAAGAGCCUCACUCUAUCCCAAGAGUUCUUUCACUAGAAUACUUUUCACUCUAGCUCUCUUGAUUUUUCUCUCACCCAUGCCCAUGCUUUCCCAUGGGAGAGCCGAAUGCUCUCCCCCUUUAGAUGCUCUCUGAUGCCUUCUCAGGAGAGAGCCGAAUGCUCUCUCUCUCCUUUCUCCACUUCGGCUCCUUGCAAUUAAAUGGACAGAAAAGUGAGUCAACUUCUCCUUUUUUUCAUAGACACAAUGAUGAUCCAUCAUGCUCCCUUUUCUCAAAACCCAAAACCACUUUCGGCAUGCAAAUGGGAAAUGAAUAAAAAAUGCCAAAACAAAGGAAUCCCAUGAAACAUCAUCAUUGUCUUCCACUAUUAGCCAAAAUGAGAUAUGGACAUAUUUGGCCACUAUUCUGAAAGCAUAACACACAAAGUCACUUAAUUGUUAACAGCUCAAAAUAUGAGCCAAUCACAACAAUCUCCACCUUGGCGAAUAUACUGUGCAAAAAAUCCUUGCACCCAGCAUACACACACUAAAUAAACCUCGUUGGUCCUGUUCCGAUUCAGUCACUGCCAAUGCAUGUGCAGCUGCUGCAAGCUAAAAAUCACAAUUUAGCUUCAGACAGGAUCUCGACACAUCCUCGUCUCCUCCAAUAGGUUUUCCUCCUCUUCAUUGUCUGCAACCUGGAAACUCGUCAGCGCGCCCGUUUCCAGCAACAACCCAUCGAGCCAGACAAAAUUCCCACACUUCCUCCUACCUCAGGACCAUCUGAUCACCUGUGAAUCCUAUAGCUCCACCUGCUGCAAAACCCCUGCAACACUUGAGACUAAACAUCACCAGGAGAAGUGUUGCUUUUGAGUACCUAGAGGACAUACUCGAAGUCUUCCACCACAAACUUGCUACAACUCGGUCUAGCACCUGUAGCACUGUGGACCCUUGCCUCCGGAACCGGAUCUGAACCUGCUGUCUCUCUCAGAUCCUCUUUCCAAUUUUCUUCCACGAUUCCAACCUUUAAUAACUUAAGCAGUCUUGUGCCCACCAUUAUCCAUGGUCUCCUUUGUGUAUCAUUCCACACCAAAGAAGCUUGCACCUGCUCCAAACUUACUGUAACUUUCCAUGCAGUAAAGUUUCACAAGGUUCUAAGACAAAUCUGAAAGUGAGGUAAGAAGAAAGAGGCCUUUGUCUUCUUCCUCAACAUCAACUUUCGUAGUUGAUCUAAGCAUCCCUGAACACGGCUUCCAUUUCUUCAGGCUUCCAUUACUCUCCAUUACCAAGAGUAAAAUCGCCUCUCCCUUUAAACUGCUCAACUGAAAAUUCCAUGGUGAACAACAAAUCUGGACCUCCAACGAACCAAGCUUCCAACGAUGCUCUGAUACCAAUUGUUGUGCCUUGGUCCGUUCAUCAGUGCGGAAACGAGAUUCAGAUUACAACCUCACCAAAAUCACACUCAGUUGAACAGAAUAAAAUACAAGAAAUAAAGACACCGAGAAAUUUACGAGGUUCGGCAAAAAUCCUGCCUACGUCCCCGGAGAGAUAUUGCUCUUCACUAUGAGAAUAACAGUACAAGUACACAUGAGUUAAAUCAACAUAACCCAAUCCCAAAUCCCUUGCACACCCACUCAUAGAAUUUUCCCAAGAGCCUCACUCUACCCCAAGAGUUCUUUCACUAGAAUACUUUUCACUCUAGCUCUCUUGAUUUUUCUCUCACCCAUGCCCAUGCUUUCACAUGGGAGAGCCGAAUGCUCUCCCCCUUUAGAUGCUCUCUGAUGCCUUCUCAGGAGAGAGCCGAAUGCUCUCUCUCUCCUUUCUCCACUUCGGCUCCUUGCAAUUAAAUGGACAGAAAAGUGAGUCAACUUCUCCUUUUUUUCAUAGACACAAUGAUGAUCCAUCAUGCUCCCUUUUCUCAAAACCCAAAACCACUUUCGGCAUGCAAAUGGGAAAUGAAUAAAAAUUGCCAAAACAAAGGAAUCCCAUGAAACAUCAUAUUGUCUUCCACUAUUAGCCAAAAUGAGAUAUGGACAUAUUUGGCCACUAUUCCGAAAGCAUAACACACAAAGUCACUUAAUUGUUAACAGCUCAAAAUAUGAGCCAAUCACAACACACACCACCACCAUUGUCAGAAAAAAGAAAAGACUUGGGAAGUUUGAGCAUGUCUCCAGGCCAAUCCAUGACUACGGUUUCAAGCUCAGUUGCAGCUGGUGAUGCCAUCCAGUUGAACCCCACGACAUUGAAUCCCGUGGUGAGCAUUUCGCCGAGGAAUCCUGCCGUGCUGAUAGUUGCAGGAAAGUAGGCAAAGUGGUUAGGGUUUUGCCAAUGUGUUAUGCCAGGAACAAUAUGGUCCUGAACAUCUUGGAGGAUGGCUUCUAUGGGUUCAGGGUGAUAUGGGGCAGAUUCUGGCAAACGUUUUCGAAGAUAGCCCGGUUGGACUUGGCUUAGAAUCGGGUGUUUUUCUAUGUUUUGGUAAUAAUCUGCAAUGAAGUCUAUCAUCAUGUGUCCUUGUCUCCUGAACGCCACAAGGUCCAGAGGGUCUUUAGUCAUGUGGUGGACAGAGUUGUUUUCAGGUGGAUUGUCAAUAUUUAAGCUACCCAUUUGGAUAUUGAGGACGUACUAAAACUUAAUUACGAAAACACUACGUAGAAGACGAAAUCAAAAUGGCUUUUGAGUAGUACUUGAGUUCCAAGGUACGAGGAUAUAUGUAUUGGUUUGUUUAUAUAGAUGUAUUUUAGAAUAAAAUCCAAUCACACAAAUAAUUUGGCGACAUGUGCUCCACAUCACUCAAUAUAAUUAUGUGUUCGCCUUAUUUUGGCCUCACACGUGAGUAAAAUCUUCAAGGACUUUCUGUUUUUAUUUUUUGGAAGCAGGGAUUCAUUACCCAGGCAAAGAUGCCAGAAAUACAGAGAAAGCCCACAACAAGGCAAGCAAACAGGAAAGAAACAGAAACAGCGGACAGAAGAGGGAGUUACAAGGAAGACAUAAUAGCCAAGCUAGCAUGUCGCCCCCUCCACUGCACCCAAAAAAACCUUACGGAGGACAGGGUAAUCCAUCACUAUGGAGCACAAAAACCAGAGAAGAUGGGGGUCUAUUGACCCAUGAAACAUCGCACAUCUCCACACACCGAUGCGACGCCAGAGAGUCCGCCGUCAUAUUGGCUGAUCUUGGAAUCCAAGACCAGCGACAGUCCUGGAAAGACUCUCCUAACCUUUUAGCUUUCACUAAUGAAGGAAAGGCUUCCCAUCUGCCCAUCCCAAGGACUUUCUUUUGUAAUACUAAGACUUGCAUGCAUUGCAAGGCUUGAAUGCUCUAACAUUAACAAGGAAAUAAAAAUCUGGCCAAACUCAGGUACUUUGCCUAUAGUAGAAUUAAUCAAAAUUCAUAUCUUAGUACGUUGUUGUGUAGUACAAUUCUCUCAAGGGCCAAAUCAAGGCACAUAUAGUAGGUGGGCAAUUGCUUCUGCCGAGAGUUUUGGACGUUUUGUUAAUUUGUUUGGCUGGAGAAUAAUGAUAUGUCUUGUCCAACAAAUAGUUUUAGGCUAAAAGACUGUUUAUUACCUUCAUGUUUUGUGGUUUUCAACAUUUAAUACAUCAAGUUUUUUUCGUCUCAGAUUCAUACCUAAAGUGUAAAUUUUGGGACAGUCUCAUACAUCCGUUAGUCAAACUAUUAAAUCUGACGUUAAUUGUGACGUGGUGCCAUGUCAUCCACGUUUUUUUUUUCUUUUCUUCUUUCUUCUUCUUCCUUCUUCUGCAACUUUUUUUUUUCUUCCUCCUUCUCCUUCUUCCUUCCUCCUUCCUUCCCCUUCUUCUCCUUCUUCCUUCUUCUUCCUUCUUCUUCAUUCUCCUUCUCCUUCUUCUUCUUCUUCCUCCGAAUGUAGGGAAAAAUUUUUUUUCAUUUUUUUUCAUUUUUUUCAUUUUUUUCAUUUUUUCUUUCUUCUUCUUCUUCUUCCUCCGACUACAACAUUUUUUUUUUCUUUUCCUCCUUCUCCUUCUUCCUUCCUCCUUCUUCCUUCCCCUUCUUCUCCUUCUUCAUUCUUCUUCUUCUUCUUCUUCUUCCUCCGAAUCUGGGGAAGAUGAAGGUUUUUUUAUUUUUUUUAUUUAUUUUUUUCUUCCUCCUUCUUCUCCUUCUUCUCACUCUUCCUUCCUCCUUCUUCUCCUUCUUCUCACUCUUCCUUCCUCCUUCUUCCUUCCCCUUCUUCUUCUUCCUCCGAAUUUCUUACUCCGAAUCUGGGGAAGAUGAAGGUUUUUUUUCGUUUUUUUUUUCUUCUUUCUUCUUUCUUCUUCUUCCUCCUCCUUCCUCCAGCUGCAACUUUUUUUUUCUUCCUUCUUCUUCCUCCUUCCCCUUCUUCUUCUUCCUCCGAAUUUCUUACUCCGAAUCUGGGGAAGAUGAAGGUUUUUUUUCGUUUUUUUUUUUUCUUCUUUCUUCUUUCUUCUUCUUCCUCCUCCUUCCUCCAGCUGCAACUUUUUUUUUCUUCCUUCUUCUUCCUCCUUCUUCUCCCUCUUCCUUCCUCUUCUUCUCCUUCUUCCUUCUUCCUUCUUCCUUCUUCUUCAUCUUCCCCAGAUUCAAGGAAGAAGAAGGAAGAAGGAAAAGGAGGAAGAAAAAAAAAAAAAAGAAGUUGCAGUCAGUGGAAGAAGAAGAAGAAGAAGAAAGAAGAAGGAGGAGGAAAAAGGAGGAAGAAGAAGAAAGAAGAAGAAAAAAAAUAAGAACAAAACAAAACUUCCCCAGAUUCGGAGGAAGAAGGAGAAGGAGAAGGAGAAGGAGAAGGAAGAAGAAGGAAGAAGGAAGAAGGAAGAAGGAGAAGAAGGGGACAGAAGAAGGAGGAAGGAAGAAGGAGGAGGAAGAAAAAAAAGUUGCAGAAGAAGGAAGAAGAAGAAAGAAGAAAAGAAAAAAAACGUGGAUGACACGUGGCACCCAGUCAUGGCGCCACAUCACAAUUAACGGCAGAUUUAACAGUUUGACUAACGGAUGUAGGAGACUGUCCCAAAAUUUCCACUUUAGGUAUGAAUCUGAGACGAAAAAAACUUGAUGUACUAAAUGUUGAAAACCACAAAACAUGAGGGUAGUAAACAGUCUUUUACGCAUAGUUUUAUUCCACUUAUUUUUCAAAUGUUAAGAUAAUUUUGUGAACCAUUCACUUUUUAUAUGCUUAACAAUAUGGGUUUGUACCUAAUUAGUAGGGCAAUAAAAUAAGGGUUGUGCUAUACACACAAUUAUCUUUACUUCUCACACACCCUCUCAAUUUUCGGCCCUCAAAUAGAAUGAAUUGAAGAAGAUUAAUCACAAAAAACUAACAAAUAUGUAUGAGAGAAAAAAAAAAGGUGUGGAACAGCAUUAUCCUAAAGUAGUUGAUUAUACGAGAAAAUCGAGUCUAGCUCUAGGCCAACAGGACACUCUACCCGCCACGGGAAGGUAGCAAACACCAAAUGAUUUGAAAUAUGAUAACUGGGUGGGCGAUUGCUUCUGCCGGGAGUUUUGGACGUUUUGUUAAUUUGUUCGGCUAGAGAAUAAUGAUAUGCCUUGUCCAAUAUGGUGUGCAAAAUUCUCAUCCAUUAAUCGGAGUGGUCUCGCAAUAAAAUCCCACACCGAACAAGAGUUUACAGUCGCCCUCGACUCUUGUAUGGCAGCUUUGGUUGUUAUUCUCCAGUUAUUUUCGUCAUGGUUAUCAUUAUAAAUGACUUUGGAUUCCAAAUUUCUACGUUCAUAGUCGCGAAACUAGAAAUUUAACCUCAUGGGAUCAUGAUAAUAGAGAAGUUAAAUACGUAUCAUAAGAUAAAUUUUGAAGGUUUAGAGACUCUGCAUUUACAAAGUCUAAGACUGACUAAUAAAAAAUUAUUAUCCAAGACUAUUCCCAUUAGUUGAUCCAUAAUUAUGAUUCUAAUUGUACGUCACUUAGUACUACGGUCUGGUGAUAUUCGUUUUCACUUGUAAUUGAAAGGUUUUAGGUUGGUAUUCGUCUUCACUUGUAAUUGAGAGGUCUUAGGAUCGAUUAUUAUUUCACCCGACACCACCAACUGAUAAGUGAGAUUCUUUUUAAUUCUAUAGUUUGAUUCUUUAAGCAUUUCUUAUGUAAGUAAAAGCCAAACAAGCAAAACAAGAAAGCAAGAAGUCAUUCCAUUUUGUCAACUUUUUAUUUGCUCGGAUCAUCAUCCCAGCAAAGCAUGGCCAGAAAUACUCAAAUCAUGUGGUUGACAUGUUCGAAAUAGUUUAAGGCAUUACCAGUUUGAUCCAGGCUUAAUCCUACUAGCAGAGUAUAAUAAGCAAUAAGAACAAAGUAAACGAGGGAAACAUUUUUUGAGAAUAAAAAAAACGAGGGAAAUAAUUUAACCACCACGGGAUGUUUUAGUAGUUGGAGAGAAUCUGAGUGAGUAUUUCAUACAGCUGGUCCUAGGUUCGAUAGGCAAUAAUACAAAGUAAACCGGAAAUUUUUUUUAUUUCGGUAUACUAGUUGAUGCAAGUGCUUCCUAUCAACCAUACAACUCAAUUUAUAAGAUCCAAAUUUGAUAUUGCUUUGUACUAAAUCCGAUGUUAUCUCCUUCAGCUCAUCCCAUCCACCAAUCAUGUUUGGGGUUAAGAAACAAAACCAGCUCUUCGUAUGCGUCCGCAAGUAAGUCCAAUGAUUAAAGGAAGAGGCUUGAAUCCCAGCAAAUUAAUAAGCAAUUAGCUAGCUCUAAAGUCGAGGAAUUGAAGCAGUUUCUGCACGAGAAGUUCGCGUGGUCCGAAAGGAGGCUUGCCCCUAACGAUCCAAUCCUUCUCAAGAAUGCCCUUUUUAGCACUGCUUGCUGCCAUCUGAUCAUGGAAAGCAGACACAAUUUGGUAGAUUGAGUUCCUCAGUACAUCAGCAACAGCAUAUGCUUUUGAAUGAAGCGGGCUGGCUCUCUUUUUACUCAUGCUAGUAUUGGCCAUGCUUGAGUUUCUCAAUUUAAAACCGGUUAACCCCAUGAACUGAUUAGCAGACAGCAAAGUGGUCUUCUUCCCCAUGUAUGUUUCAACAGCAAGAAGGCAAGAAAUCAGCGUUGACAUCACAGCAGCGUUACUACCAGUGAUCUGGGCAACCCCGUAUCUGUCCUCUUUGUGUGAGCAUGCAGUUAGCGAGGCAGCUGUCCAUGCACACCAUGCAUACAACUGCAUUAAAAGAGUAUAUAUUAGGUUUUUUAGUUGAUGAGAAAAACAAUUGAAGUUAUUCCAAAUAUUCAAUAACAUUCUCUUCACAUGCAUAACUGCAAGUUGCCGCCAAUUAGCAUACCGACUAUCAUUUGUGACGUACUGGCUCCUAUAGAUAACAAACUGUACCAAUCUAAGAACAAUUGCCCCUGGUCCAAACCCGUAGAACAAUACUAAGAUGCAUUGUUAGAAUUUCAGGUGGAGAAAAUGGCAUAUUAAUGUUAUUCAAUCCUCCAAAAUUCAGCCCUUCAUCCAUCAUAUCAACAAGUAGUUCGUGAAGCUCAGCAUUUACUCAUGUAAUGUUUUGCCACAAAACAUGAGUAAGUUAUUAUUUAUUACUCUCCAUAGAUGAUGCUAGUUCACAGUUUGACUAAACGGAGUAGGAAGACAUACACACGUGUAGGUUAUAUCCACAAGUAGAAUCAAGAACCGAUAUGUUUACCUGGAAGUUAUCCAAAGGCUCAGAGUAUUUUGAGUCUAGUCGCUGGUCGGUUGGGGGCAGUAACUGACUGGAUAUUCGGGAGCCGUUUUCAACGGAACUUUCCAAGACUUCACCCAUCUUGGAUGCAAGCUGCUCCAGAGGCCGCAAGCAUACAGAUAUAACUCUUCUGUAAGUUUCACCAGUUUCCUCAAAAAAUGCAGCUCUUCUCCAAGCAUCCACAUUAUUCUCGCAAACCAUACAGAGAUCAAGAUAGGCAAGAUACUGAAGAAGAGAACUAGGACUGCUCUCCUCCAGAGCUGCAAGGAGAAUCUCACUUGGAUUUGUUUCUGCUGCCGCUGAUCCUUUAGGUGGUGCAAAUACGAAUCUCUUUGUAUGAAGCACCUGCAUUACAACACAAUUUCAAACACAUAUAGAUUCAAAUCAGAAGACAGCCAUGGUUAACUAUAAAAGGAAAGGGGCAAACAAAUAGCACCAAGUAUUCAGAUUCUUUAACAAGAGAUCAAGCUGUGUGAUUUAUAAAGAGUAUGCCAUAUAGCAUGGUAUAUGACCAAGACGUAGGUUUUCUAGUGUCAUUAAGUAGUAAAGUUCACAUCCGAAAAAAGAGAAGUUAUCUAAUUCGUAUUAAAAUCCCAUCAAAAGCUACUAAGAAGAAACACUGAUAUGCAUGUCCAUGGAGUGAUGUCUGAAUGUUCAAUACUAACACCAGACCCACAAGGUUCCUAAUGCAAUCAUAUAAGAUGGGCCAAAUUAAAGUAGCACAAAAUUGCAAGAAAUAUUCUUCAUCAAUUGAACAGGUCAAUGCUGCAUGAAGCUCUAUAUUCCAGUCACGACUUCUGUUACUUUUAAGUUAUAUUCAUUCUUAUAACUGUAGGGGGAGAGGAUCCAAUGAAGAGCAAGCAUUUGAAGGGGUUAAUAAAACAAGCAAGAAUGUUCCACAAACUUCUAUAUUCAAAUAAUCAUAAACACAAGUCAUAAAAACAAUAGCUAAUUCAAUGCUGCUUUCAAGUACCUGCAGUAGUAUUAAUGAAAAUUAACAAACAUGUUGAUAUGUUUGAAGAACCAACCCGAUGUAAAUGGUGACUUAGUUCCCAGCAUAGUAACACUAAGAAACUCCCAGUGUAGAGUCUGAUCUGCUCAGCAAUAAACUUUCCAGUUGUAGCCUGGUUCUGAUUGUGGUGUGGCAGAAACACCAGCAGAGCAGCUGAAAAAAGGUACGCCACAAAGGAAAGCUUCAAGGAUCGUGUGAUAGCCGAAGGAGCCCCAUUUUGAAGCUGAAAAAAGGAGGACGCUGUUGACAUAAACAAGUAGUGUAAGAGUCAUGACUUGUGUGAGUAGAAAGCAAAACACAACAUGAGAAAAUCAAAGCAAGGCUAAGAAUUUCUUAUGACAGAAAACUUAGUAAAUGAGUGCAAACAGCAAUCUCAAAUCUCAACCAGUAAAUUAAACAUGCUUCCACACGCAAUGUAUUGCAAGCCAGCAAAAAAGAAGUAGAGAGAAUUGGGCCAGGACUUGGUGAUCUGAUCUCCAAGACUGAAAAAUCAUAUCACAUAAACUGCAUAUUUUUGUCAUAUUUUUGUACUCAGCUAUACAUUUCUCUUAACACACCUCAUGUAACAUCACAUUACACAGAGAAAGAUUCAAACUUUGUAUAAAAGUAGCCAAAAACUGACCUGAAUAAUGGGAAACUCCAAGACCCACCUGCGAUUAUACACAUAAUACAGCCCAUAAAGCAACCCCAUCACUAAACCCCUAAACCCCACUCUCCCAAUCGCCGAAAGCCCAUCGCCAAACCCCCCACACACCGAAGCCACCGCAACAAAACCUGACACCGCCGCGGCGCCCAAAAACAUCAGCAAACCCACCGAAAGCUUAGCCCGGGCCCGGGAAUCCGGGGUCUCUGACGAAUCAGGGACGCCCGGAAUGGAAAGGAAUCGAACGAGCCCAAGAACGAGCUGGAGAAGAGAAGCAGGGCGGUGGGGGUGGGGCGAGGAGACGAGGGAGAGCGAGAACGAGAAGAGGACCUGGGAAAGGUGGAAGGUCAAAAACGUAAAAAGGGCGAAUAUCGAUGGGGCGAACGGGAAUGUGAGUGGGGGUUUGGUGGCCGAGGGAGAAGCGGAGGGGACGGCUGAUGAGAGGGUUUUGAACAGGAAGAAGAUGACGAUGGAGGGGAUGGACUGCCAUACGAGGAACCCUAAGAAGCUGUUGUGGACCACCAUCUCCGGCGGCAUAGACGGUGAAGCUGGAGGCGGCAUUGAUUUGUUGGCUGAGGGUUUUAGGUGGGUUUUUGGAGGUUCAGACAAAGGGAGUCGAUUUGAAAUCUUUCAUAGGAGGGACUUGUGGUGGCAUUUUGAGGUUUUUGGUCCUAAGGCCAUCUCCAACCGAUGGCUGGUCAGAAGGCUCGUUUUAGCCCUCUGGCCCUCCAAGAUUCUCCAAGAUAUUAAUAUUUUAAUGAACAGUACAGGGCCAUAUUUGCCUCCGUCUCCAACCGAGGGCCAGAGGGCCAGAUGGCUCGUUUUAGCCCUGUAAAAAAAAACCGUCUCCAACCGAGGGCCAUAGGGCCAAACAUAAUUUAUUAUUUAAAAACUACACUUAAUUUUAUUUAAAAAUCAUGUUGGUUAGUGUUGUAUAAUUUUUAUGUCGGUUAAUGUUAUUUAAUGUUGUUUCAUAUUGUUUAAUGUUGUUUCAUGUUACUUAAUUUAAUUUAACGUUGUAUAAUGGCUUAGGAAGUUAUAGGAAAAAAAUAGAAUUUAAAAAAAAUAUGAAACAAAUUUUGUGAAAUAGAAGUUAUAGGAAAAAAUGGAAUUUAAAAAAAAAAUAUGAAACAAAUUUUGUAAAAUAGAAGUUAUAUGAAAAAAAUAUGAACCAAAUUUUGUAAAAUAUAAGUUAUAGGAAAAAAAUAGAAUUAAAAAAAAUUGAAACAAAUUUUGUAAAAUAGAAGUUAUAGGAAGUUAUAGAAAAAAAAAGAAAAAAAAAGGUUUAAAUUCAUAAAAAAAAAAAAGGAUUUACAACGGCUAGUGGCGCUAGCCGUUGGAAGUUUGAAUUCAAAAUGUUAUUUCUGUCGGUUGUAACCGACAGAAAUAAGAAACAUUAAAAAAAAAAAAUAGCCAGCCCGGGGCUGGCUGGCUGGCCGAAAGCAGCCAGCCCUCCAGCCCUCUCCGAUCCCGUGGGGCCCUCCCAGAUUCUCGAGCCCUCUGGCCUAGCCCUCAGUUGGAGACGGUUUUAGGGCUAUUUUCGGCCCUCUGGCCCUCUGGACCCUUCGGUUGGAGAUGGCCUAAGACCACCUCCUCUAAAGAUGUGAAAAAUAGCAUAUAGGCUUAUAAUGGUAACAAAUAACAUCCUAUUUACUCCGUUAAAUAUUACAUGAAAAAGAAGGAUGUCAAAAAUCCCAAAUAAACUUAUAACGAUAACAAAUGACGAAUCACUUACUCUAAAAAAAAUGACAUAGAAAAGAAACCUAAGCUUACAUUGAUAAAGAGAUGUCAAUAGCAUUUCAUAGCCUUACCUUAUAUGCUAGCCUUCAAAUUUAAUUUUUGUUAUUUCCAUAGCAUUUCAUUUGCCUUACCUUAUAUGCUAACAUAUUUAAGCAUUAUUUUAUUAUUUUUAAACCAACAACAACCCAAUUCUAUUAUUUUUGUUUUAAAAAAAACAUAAAUGAAGCAAUAAAUUUUGACAUAGCGGGUAAAAGGAACAUAUUGACAAUAUGUUAAAUUGUCAAAUCAGCCAUCAAACUUAAAUUUGAUGUUUUGAAUUUAACGUCUCCUUUGGAGAUGUUCUAAGGCUCUAACUGAAAACUAUAAACUGAGAAAGUACACGAAUUUUGUGAGUCUUUCUUGUUUUUACUUUUAUUUUGAAAUUAUAUUUUUUUCCUUGGGUUUAUUUAUUUUUUAGGGUUUUGCCAACUGAGUUUAUAUUUGAUUUACUGACAGAAAUAAAUUUUGUCUAUACGUCCUGGUGCAGUUCCGAUUUCUACCAAUUUUUCUUCCUUCUAACAACUAACUUUAACUGUCACAGCCCGUCCCGGAAUUUUAAUUCCGAGGACAUAAAAAGACGAAAAUGCCCUUAAACGGGACUAAGGGGCGAAAAUUUAACAAUUUGGAUUGAGUUGGACACGUGAGAUCCCCACACCCCUCAAUCCUCUCCCUAUUUUCUGCAUACUGUCUCUCUCUCUCCUCCCUCACGAAUCUCUCUCUCUCUGUCACUCUUCUUCUCCGUUCGAACAAACCAACCACAAAACAACCUUAAACUUCCACCAACGACGGAGUUAAGACCACCAUCGAACUCCUGGAGACUCCACGAUCACGUAGACACCAAUUUCAGGUAAGUUUUACUUCGGAAAACCUAGAUUCUAAACUCCCGUGAAAGUGCACUGUUCAUGAUCUUCGAAUUGACUUUGUUUUAGGACAAUCCAAGCUCAUAGUGAGCUUUAGGAUGUCCCAAGGAAGCUCGGAGUGCUUCGUUGGAAGUUUUUGGACGUAAGAACACGGAGAUCGACAAGUUCAAAGUUUGGCCGGAGCUUUCGAGGCGUUUUCCGGCGAAUCCCCGGCGAGUUAGGAGUCGAGGUAGGUAUCAAUCUCUUCGUCUCGUCAAGUACUAUAACUUUCAUUUUUGUUUCACUCAAUUUCGUUGAGUAUUGAAGAAGUUAUACUCAUUUGAAAAAUACCCAGUUUCCGGCGACCUCCGAGGCUUUCGAGGCAGUUUCCGGCCAAACCACGGCUAACUAGGUGUUGUGCAAGGUACCAUUCUCUUUGUCUCUUCAAGGGCUACAACUUUCGUUUUUGAAUCACUUGAUUUCGUUGAGAAAUGACAAAGUUAUGGCAAUUUGAAAAACUGCUCAGAAAACGGCCGCCGGAAAAACCAGUCCGGCGACCCAAGGAAGAAGAAGGUGCUACAGUAAAAAUAAAAAAUAAAAAUAAAAUUAUUUUAAAAAUAUGUCGACGUCCGUGACGUCGAGUAGAUCACUGUGGUAUAUUCAUAUACCUAAAUUGAACACCGUAUGAGAAAGUUAUUGAAGAUUGUUGGUUAGGUGUUCAAAUAACGUUUUAUAGUUUUCACAUUUAGGUGAAAAUGUGAAUUGAUGAUCCGACCGUUGGAUCGUCACCAAACUUUGAUACGUUGUAAUACGUAAUAUUUGAGGAUUAUUGGAACUUACGGAUUGGGAAUCCGAAUUACGGAUCUUCCGGAAUUGGAAUUGUAAGUCCAUAAUAUAAAAUGUUAACCGUCACUUAGUUUUGGAAAUUGACGGAGAUCCGACCGUUGGAUGGUAAUGAAAUUUUAGGAUGUUGUCCUAGAGGUAUAAUGUGGACCUCUGGAAGUUAUGGAUUAAAAUCUGAGUGGUGGAUCUUCCGGAUCAAUCUACGUAGUGACGUAUUUUAUAUAAGUUAUAUAUUCUAUCGAUAUGAAUUCUGAGGUUGGAAUUGAUUAUUGUUUUAGGCGCCGAUCGUCAUGACGCCUUGGCGUAUUGUGCUAGGGAGUUGUAGGGCGAACUCCAGGUGAGUGGGCAGUUUUGUUUUCCGUAUAUAUAUAUAUAUACUUGACGUUUCCCAGAAAUUGAAAAUGCAUGAAAUUAUGCUUUAAAUGAAAAUGCAUAGAAUUGAUAUGAAAAGUAUAUAGAAAUGUGAGUUGAAAUGCCAUGCAUGAAUUAAUAUAUGAUGCAUAUGUAUGAAUUGGUGCGGUGGACGCACAGGUAAGAAUUGAUUUAUGAUGCAUAUGUAUGAAAUGGUGCGGUGGACGCACAGGUGAGUAUUUAAUUACUGUUAUGAUGAUGAUGAUAUAUAUUGAGCUCAAAUCCUGCACCAUGGUUUAGUGCUUAUAGUAUUCACCGCAUCGCACGCUCGCCUUGGAUCCAAGUAGAUGCUAGUCGUACAGUCCACGCGGAGUGGGUACGACAGACCAGUCGCGAGAGUGUUAGUGAGAUUCCGACUGGUGGGUGACCUUAGAUUAUGUGCACAGAUGAUUUAUGAGAAGCACUAGAGCGUAACUUGUGUGCAGAAGGCCGGACGGGUCACAGAGGUGACUCCGGUAGAGUGAUAAUGAUAGAUUUUGAGCUCUAGGUUCAACCGUACAGGGCUAUUAGAGGGCCUCCGGUUGAUUACUUUCUUGCACCUGAUAUGAUUAUUGUUGAUGCAUCCAUACUUAACUGUUGAAUUAGACAUGGCAUGGCAUGAUUGAUAAAGAAAAAAUGUUGAGUUAAUGAAUUAAAGUAUUGAGAAUAUAUAUGUAUAUUUAUAUUUUACAUUUCUGGGAAAAUAUACAGGUUUUACAGAGAGGGGUUACAACGUUUUGAAAAAUGUUUGGAUUUGGAAAAGAAUUGUUUUACUGACCCACUCAAUUUUGGUUUUGCGCCCCUCCAGGUUCAGGAAUCACAAAGGUGUGGUGACUACGAGGAAUACAGCGGGGUUCUGACAGAUUGGACAAAAUUAGGACUCACCUUCGGGUGUAUCAACUUAUAAAUUGUAUCUUAAAGCUUCCGUACUGUGCAAAUGGUUACGUCACUCUCACGUGACGGCCAGCAUGCCCUCCUUCGGGACGGGGUGUGUCAGUUGGUAUCAGAGCAUGGUUGCAAUCUUGGACAUUUUGAGAAGUUCUAGUGAAUUCUGUCAGAACUACACCGCCUCGUAGCAAGCCACUUAGUUAGAGGAAUUUAGUCUCCCUAAUAUAACGGUUUAGGGGAAACUAUUAUUAUGGUGAUUCAGUCUAUUAUAAAAAGGGACAUUUUAAGAUGGGUUAUGAGUUGAAUUUGAAUCACUUAAGAGAAAUGAUGAACCUGAGGGAGCGAAGUAACGGUUUAACCAUUUGGAAAAGAUGUUUCGGAUUAUGCAAGUCAAAGGAAUCUUCCUUCUGACAGGGGGUCGAGACGACUACCUGGUUUUGGGUAUGAAUUUGUAUCCUGGUGGAAACAGGAGUAUGAUUUGUUGUCAUCGGAGGAACAACCGAUUUAAAAUUGUUUAAGGAAAAGUUUAUCCCUCUGGCAUUUAUUGAUGGUAGUAAACAAGAGUUUACAAAUAUGAGACAAGGAAGGUGAUGAUCGAGGGAUAUUAUAGAAAGUUUUCAGACUUGCCUCGUUCCAUCCAGAUAUUGUUGUGAAUUUGGUGGAGGUGUUAUGUUGUUUUAGGCUGGGUGACAAAAGGAAGUGGUAUUUUUGGGUGACCCCUAUCCAUGGUAUUUCUUACCAGGAGUAUAUGAGAUGUUGUUGAGCCUUGAAGACUCUGAGAAUAUGAUCAGCGAGAGUAAAGAUGAAUAAGAAAAGAAUGGGAAUUAGAUGAAAGAACGAUAAAGUUAAUGAUUCGUCAUAUCAAGAAUAUCGAAAGACUCAGAGCUUCAAAAGAAGUGAAGCUAGAGUUAAUUUUUCCAGUUGAGGUUUUAAUGUCGCUGGUCAGAGUAAAAGUGAUGGAUAUACUGGUAAUCCCAGAUAUUUGAGACAAGGUGUCUCGAGUAAAGGAAAUGUACUUUGUGCAGCAGGUACAAAAAUUAACACUUUGGGAAGUGUGAAAUUAAUGAAUGUGUUUAUGUGAACAGAGGGGACACAGAAUUGUGAAUCGUCCCUAUAAUCAGUUGUACUCAAUAAUUUUCCAUGAUAUCAUAGUGUCGAUUCAGCAGAGUUAUGGAUUUAGUAGUUUGGUCGGAUUGACCGUGAGUACAGAGAGAUUUGAUGAGUUAUAUGUUCAGCCGUACAGACCAUAAGAAGUGGAUUCGAUUGACACAUGAGAAAUUAGUGAGUUAUAGGCUCGGCCGUACCGACCACGCGAAGUGGAUCCGGCCGACGUAUUAUUAAGAUAAGAGUUGAAUCAACCGUAUUGGUCAUUCUAGUUGACUUCGGCUGAUAUAUUUCUUAUUAUGUAUGUUAUUACCUAGAGAGUAGUAAAUAAAUGUAGUUGAGACGAGUGUAUGUAUUGCAUUGAGUAACAAAAUAGUAAUGUUAUAUCUUUGAGAGUGGUUGCCUACUUAUCGAGACAACGAUGAUUUAUCAGUAUUGCGGGCUGCAGACCGUAAUAUUAAUAACUCAUUCGUGGAUUCGUUAAGCAAGCAAACCGGUAGAUUAUUUUAUGUUAGUAUUGUACUUAUUUAGAAUGCUUAAUAAUAAUAGAAUAUAUAUUGUGUCGGUUAAAUUAUUUCCAUUAGAUUGGUUGGUUAUAAUUGUGACAAGACGGAAUGUUAAGGGAAACCAGUACUUUCCAUCGAUCUGGAUGACCAGAGAUUACUUUUGUAAGUAUGCAAAGUGGAUUGAGUCAGGCCGUUAUUUAUGCUGUGAGAGCAAAGAGAUUGUUUUCGAAAGGCUGUCAAAAAUAUUAGCUCGUGUGGUGCUAAAUGAUGUUGUUUGGAGUAGUGUGAAUAAUGUCAAAAAGGGGUUAGACUUUUCUUGAUGUCUUCCCUGAAAGUAUACCUGGAUUGCCUUCAGGCAGAGAUAUGAGGUUCACUAUUGAUUUGUUGCCAGGUAUAAAUCUAUGUUAAAGAUUGGUUCAGGAUGAGUUAAGGGAAUUGGAAAUUCAGUUGAAAGAAUUGGUUGAUAAAAGUUUCAUUCAACCUAGUACAACAUUUUUGAGGAGCCCCAGUUUGUUGGUGAGGAAGAAAAUGGACUUAGAGAUUGUUCAUUGAUUAUAGACAAUGGAGUCGGGUAACGAUUAAGAACCGUUAUCCAUGGUAAUGUACUGAUGUUUAUUUAACCAGCUCAGAAGUAAUUGCGAAGAUUCAAAGAUUGAAUUGAGAUCUGGUUACUACCAAUUGAAUAUUAUAAGUGACGUUGAUCAUAAGAUGGUUUUCUGGACUCGUUAUAGUCUUUAUGAAGUUUGGUGAUGCUAUAUGGAUACUCAUGCUGUUUUAUGAGUUAUUGGAUGAAGUAUUCCAAUAAUGCCUUGAUAAAUAGAUAUCAUUUUCAUUGAAGAUAUUCUGGCAUAUUCUGAGCCAGAGCAGAGCAUGUAAACGUAUUAAGUCGGUGGAACAAAGAUUGGAAAGAAUGUCGGUUGUAUGCUAAGUAGCAAAUGCUAAAGUUAGAUGAAUCAGGUGGCAUUCUGAGAUUUGUUAUAUAUUCUUAAGGUAUUCAAGUGAAUCCUUAAAAGAUAGCAGAAAUUGAGAAUUUGGAACAACCACGAGUCGUAAUUGAGAUUUGGAAUUUCUUAGCUUACCAGGCUAUCUUGGAUGGUUGUGAAAGAUUUUUCAGUCAUUGCUUUGUCAUUGACGAGACUGUUGAGAAAAGAGGUCAUGUAUGAGUGGGAAGGAAAUUGUGAGCAAAGGAUUCAACAACUGAAGUAUUUUCCUCACUCAUGCACGUAUUUUGGUAUUCCCAGAGAAUAGUGGUAAUCAUAUAAAUUUUUAGUGAUGUUUCUUGAAUGGUAUUGGAUGCAUGUUGAUGCAAAAUGUUAGGGUGAUUGCAUACGUUUCACGAUAAAUGGAAUCUCAUAAGAUGAAUUACCCUACGGGUGACUUAGAAAUCAUGAUUACCAUUCUUGCUGUGAAGUUAUGAAGGGCAUUAUAUUUGGUAAGAAUGCAAGAUUUUUACGAAUCCAAAAAGUCUUUCAAUAUCCAUUACUUGGAAGGAUUUUGAUAUGAGGCAGCGAAAGUGAAUUGUAUUGCUUAAUGAAUAAUGAUUGUACGAUCAGGGUGAUCGUAAAGUUUGUUCUAAACUGAAGCACUUGGUGAGAAAUACUACAGUAAGAUUAAUGUCUGGCACGUUUUGCCAAGAGUAUCAUCUUGUGGAUUGAAAACCAACGGAAGAAAAAUUAAGAAUGGAAGAUCGAGAAGAAGUUAUACUUGUUAAAUUUCAAGUUAGGCCUGUUUGGUAAGGUCGUACUUGAAACUUAAAUGCUUGACGAAGAAAUUUAAGAAUUAACCAAGGUAGAGAAAGAAGGUAAGUUAAAUCCUAAGUUAAUCGGACUUAAGUGAUUAUCGAAAAGUUGGUGAAGUUGCUUACAAGCUUGUGAUGCCCUCAGAAUUGGUUAAGGUGCAAAACAUAUUUUAUGAUUCGAUGCGUUGUCACUAGGUGGCAGAUUCGUCACAUGAGAUUCUGGUGUAACUAUUGAGAAUUAAAUUGGAUUCGACUUGAUAAGGAAUCAAGGACGACUUUGGAUUGGAAAAAGAAGGUCCUGAGAAUUAAGACAGAGUAAGUAGUAAAAGCUUUGUGAAGGAAAUCAUUCAGUAGAAAAGUAUGUGGGAGAAAGAGAAUCGGAUGAGAAAGAUUUACCCGAAGCUAUUGUUGGAGUAUGGUUGAUUUAGUUGGUUGCUGGAAUUUCGGGGACGAAAUUCUAUAAGGAGGGAAGAUUGUCACAGCCCGUCCCGGAAUUUUAAUUCCGAGGACAUAAAAAGACGAAAAUGCCCUUAAACGGGACUAAGGGGCGAAAAUUUAACAAUUUGGAUUGAGUUGGACACGUGAGAUCCCCACACCCCUCAAUCCUCUCCCUAUUUUCUGCAUACUGUCUCUCUCUCUCCUCCCUCACGAAUCUCUCUCUCUCUCUGUCACUCUUCUUCUCCGUUCGAACAAACCAACCACAAAACAACCUUAAACUUCCACCAACGACGGAGUUAAGACCACCAUCGAACUCCUGGAGACUCCACGAUCACGUAGACACCAAUUUCAGGUAAGUUUUACUUCGGAAAACCUAGAUUCUAAACUCCCCGUGAAAGUGCACUGUUCAUGAUCUUCGAAUUGACUUUGUUUUAGGACAAUCCAAGCUCAUAGUGAGCUUUAGGAUGUCCCAAGGAAGCUCGGAGUGCUUCGUUGGAAGUUUUUGGACGUAAGAACACGGAGAUCGACAAGUUCAAAGUUUGGCCGGAGCUUUCGAGGCGUUUUCCGGCGAAUCCCCGGCGAGUUAGGAGUCGAGGUAGGUAUCAAUCUCUUCGUCUCGUCAAGUACUAUAACUUUCAUUUUUGUUUCACUCAAUUUCGUUGAGUAUUGAAGAAGUUAUACUCAUUUGAAAAAUACCCAGUUUCCGGCGACCUCCGAGGCUUUCGAGGCAGUUUCCGGCCAAACCACGGCUAACUAGGUGUUGUGCAAGGUACCAUUCUCUUUGUCUCUUCAAGGGCUACAACUUUCGUUUUUGAAUCACUUGAUUUCGUUGAGAAAUGACAAAGUUAUGGCAAUUUGAAAAAACUGCUCAGAAAACGGCCGCCGGAAAAACCAGUCCGGCGACCCAAGGAAGAAGAAGGUGCUACAGUAAAAAAAAAAUAAAAAUAAAAUUAUUUUAAAAAUAUGUCGACGUCCGUGACGUCGAGUAGAUCACUGUGGUAUAUUCAUAUACCUAAAUUGAACACCGUAUGAGAAAGUUAUUGAAGAUUGUUGGUUAGGUGUUCAAAUAACGUUUUAUAGUUUUCACAUUUAGGUGAAAAUGUGAAUUGAUGAUCCGACCGUUGGAUCGUCACCAAACUUUGAUACGUUGUAAUACGUAAUAUUUUGAGGAUUAUUGGAACUUACGGAUUGGGAAUCCGAAUUACGGAUCUUCCGGAAUUGGAAUUGUAAGUCCAUAAUAUAAAAUGUUAACCGUCACUUAGUUUUGGAAAUUGACGGAGAUCCGACCGUUGGAUGGUAAUGAAAUUUUAGGAUGUUGUCCUAGAGGUAUAAUGUGGACCUCUGGAAGUUAUGGAUUAAAAUCUGAGUGGUGGAUCUUCCGGAUCAAUCUACGUAGUGACGUAUUUUAUAUAAGUUAUAUAUUCUAUCGAUAUGAAUUCUGAGGUUGGAAUUGAUUAUUGUUUUAGGCGCCGAUCGUCAUGACGCCUUGGCGUAUUGUGCUAGGGAGUUGUAGGGCGAACUCCAGGUGAGUGGGCAGUUUUGUUUUCCGUAUAUAUAUAUAUAUACUUGACGUUUCCCAGAAAUUGAAAAUGCAUGAAAUUAUGCUUUAAAUGAAAAUGCAUAGAAUUGAUAUGAAAAGUAUAUAGAAAUGUGAGUUGAAAUGCCAUGCAUGAAUUAAUAUAUGAUGCAUAUGUAUGAAUUGGUGCGGUGGACGCACAGGUAAGAAUUGAUUUAUGAUGCAUAUGUAUGAAAUGGUGCGGUGGACGCACAGGUGAGUAUUUAAUUACUGUUAUGAUGAUGAUUGAUAUAUAUUGAGCUCAAAAUCCUGCACCAUGGUUUAGUGCUUAUAGUAUUCACCGCAUCGCACGCUCGCCUUGGAUCCAAGUAGAUGCUAGUCGUACAGUCCACGCGGAGUGGGUACGACAGACCAGUCGCGAGAGUGUUAGUGAGAUUCCGACUGGUGGGGUGACCUUAGAUUAUGUGCACAGAUGAUUUAUGAGAAGCACUAGAGCGUAACUUGUGUGCAGAAGGCCGGACGGGUCACAGAGGUGACUCCGGUAGAGUGAUAAUGAUAGAUUUUGAGCUCUAGGUUCAACCGUACAGGGCUAUUAGAGGGCCUCCGGUUGAUUACUUUCUUGCACCUGAUAUGAUUAUUGUUGAUGCAUCCAUACUUAACUGUUGAAUUAGACAUGGCAUGGCAUGAUUGAUAAAGAAAAAAUGUUGAGUUAAUGAAUUAAAGUAUUGAGAAUAUAUAUGUAUAUUUAUAUUUUACAUUUCUGGGAAAAUAUACAGGUUUUACAGAGAGGGGUUACAACGUUUUGAAAAAUGUUUGGAUUUGGAAAAGAAUUGUUUUACUGACCCACUCAAUUUUGGUUUUGCGCCCCUCCAGGUUCAGGAAUCACAAAGGUGUGGUGACUACGAGGAAUACAGCGGGGUUCUGACAGAUUGGACAAAAUUAGGACUCACCUUCGGGUGUAUCAACUUAUAAAUUGUAUCUUAAAGCUUCCGUACUGUGCAAAUGGUUACGUCACUCUCACGUGACGGCCAGCAUGCCCUCCUUCGGGACGGGGUGUGUCAUUAACUCAGUAAUGAUAUCGUUUUACUAAAAAAACAAGCUAACUGAUAAAAUAUGGAAUUGUUUUACAAUAUCCCUUCAAACGAAGCCACAGUCAAAAGAAUUAAGGUUUUAUAUCAAAACAACCCCCAUGGGGUUGGUAUGGUAAAAACCAAGCACAAAGAAUUGGGCUGAUUUGAUAUUGUUGUAAUGUGAGAAUAAGCAGCUGUGAAAUAAAGCAGCAGAGUGUUUGGUAAACUUUUUUGUAAAAGUUUUUUUGAAUAAAAAAGAAGUAUUAUAGUAUUUGAUAAACUUUUAUGUAAAACAAAUGUGAAAAAAAAAAACUGGUUUUUCAAAGCUGGGUUUUGCAGCUUUGUGUUUUUUGCUUUUUUUCACCUAAAACUGUGAAAAAAAAGCUGAAGCUGAAUGUUUACCAAACAUAAAAAAAAGCUUUUGAUAGCCACUUUUUUCAAAAUCACCUCUGUAUCAAAAACCAGGGAGGCUCUGUAAAGUUGCUCCAUGUUAGGAAUCUCCUUGAGUUCGUCGGCAGCAACUUCAAGCGCAGUGUGUUGGAAAAAAUGGUAGAAUUUCUCGCUGCAGAUGAAACUAAAAAGCAAUUACACGAUAGAAAGUGGAAGUAAGAAUGGUGCAUAGUAGAAUUUCUUCACCCCAAAUAAACCAAACAUGGUAACUUGGUACAGUAUCAGAGAUGCAAUGAGUCCAACUUGGAUGUGCGGCCACAUCCUUCCAUAGCUUUCGUACGAUGGAAUGUAAACUUUUGAGUGCCUGCUCGAUGAAACAACAAAAGCUUUAGUUUUCGAAAGCAUAUGCUUGCUUAGGAAAAAAGUAGGCUAAGUUGUAUAUCCCUUCGGUAGAGUUUUUUGACUAAAAACUUGCAAGGUCGGAAAAAGCUGAGGAUACCUGAUUUCGAAGGACAAGCCAUCCAAGGCCAAAGUAAAGCACACCAAAUGGAAGAAUCAGCGGAGCAAUAACAGAGUAGCAGAGGACAAUUGUAAUCAUGAGCAUAUCACCGGGUACUCUGGUCCCAUAUCCAAGACCACGAGGAAGCCAAGCUGCUUUCACCUCAUCUUCGGACUUACAGAAAUACUUCCACUUCGUAUGGAAAAUUAUCAGAGGAACUAGUCGGGACAGUUCAAGAUCAUAUCCAACGAAAAACAUGUCAUCAACGCAAUUGCGAAAACCAGUUCACUGCAAUAAAAGCAGAAGUGAUAUGAUUAUACAAGAAUCGAAGUCAAUUUGCUUUAUAAAAAGAAAAUAAUAAUAAAUAAUAAAUAAAUAUGAAACAUGAUUAGCAGGUUGUGUGCCCUUUUGAUUGGAUGGUACUUUGGUUUUUGAGGGACAAGGAAUUGGAGUGUUUUGGUUGAAGGACAAAAGUAGAAAUAUUAAAGGGAGUUUUAACGAAAAGCUCACGGUACUGUUCUCUUUAACGAAAAACCACAUUUUUAUACUAAAAAGUCAAACCUGGUACUAUUCACUUUACCUUUUAUUUUGUCCUUAUCAUUAAAAUUCAAAGUUUUCAAGUCAUUUUCAUUAGUUUUCCUAAUAUUAAAAGCUUCAUGUGUAAAACGUUCUCGUGUCGUUGAUAAUGUUUAUAUGACAUAAUUUGCUGACUGCAAUGACAUCGACACAUAUUAACUUAAAGGGGUGUGAUAUUCACACAUCCUAUUUUACUUCUCACACACAUUUUUAAUUUUCGACUGUCGGAUCGGAUGAAUUGAAGAAGAUCAACAGACAUAAAUUAUCAAGAGAUGUGUGAGAAGUAAAAUGAGGUGUGUUGUAGCAUCCCACAUCGCCCAGGGGAGUGAUCCUUAAAUGUAUAUUCUCAUCCCUACCUAGCACGAGGCAUUUUGGGAGCUCACUGGCUUCGGAUUCCAUCGGAACUCCGAAGUUAAGCGAGUAGUGCACGAGAGCACUCCCAUGAUGGGUGACUCACUGGGAAGUUCUCGCAUGAGAUUGGGAAACUCUGUAUUUCCAAAGAUGGAAAUGUUGCUUGCAGGAAAUUUUUUUUUUUUCUUUUUUGAACAAAUGCUUGGAGGAAAUAUAAAUGUGGUAAAAAUGAGUAAUCUGCAAACGUGUGACUGCAGCUUGUGAGUAAUGUGAUCCCUUUAAAUAGAAAGAAAAAAAAAAUGUUAUAGUUAUGUAUUGAUAUGGAUGUUUUGUAAAGUAUAAAUCGUCCAUUGAAGGAAGCAAACAAGCAAGACUUGGCGGUUUUAAAAUUGUAUAAAAUAAAUCGAUUGAAAAAGGUUAUGCCCCAAUCGGCUUUUGUGACGGGGAGAUAAAUUCAGGAUAACAUAUUAGUGGUGCAUGAGAUAUUACAUUCUCUCAAGCAACAGAGUAAUAGUGAGGAGUCUUUCAUGGUGAUGAAAUUUGGAUAUGGCUAAGGCGUAUGGCCGGGUUGAAUGGCCAUUUCUCUUUGCCAUGAUGCAAACAUUGGGGCUUUCUGAGUUUUUGUGUCGAAGAAUUGAAGAAUGUAUAUCUAUGGUGUUUUAUAGUAUUUUGAUUAAUGGGUCGUCCACAGGAUUCAUACAACCACAAUGGGGAUUGUGGCAAGGGGAUCCUAUGUCCCCGGCUUUGUUGCGACGAAGAGAUGAGAUGGGUGGUCUCCACGGCAUUAGGGUGUCUAAGGGAGGGUUGCCUAUUUCACAUUUGUUUUCUGCCGAGGAUGCAGUUAUAUUUUGUAAAACUUCGGAAGGUGAAGCGUUGGAGGGAGGUUAUGAAUGUGUUACAAAUUUAUGUGGACGGUUCUGGGCAAGUUAUAAACAGGGAGAAGAGUUCGUUUUUUUUUCGGUGCUCAUUGUGCGAAGAAAAGAAGGAAAAAGACUGUGGGGUGUACAAAUAUCAGGGGAAGGGAUGACUUUGGGAAGUACCUAGGGUUAUCUGCGAACUUUGGUCAUUCCAAAACUGCGGUAUUCAAGGAAGUGAGAGAGGUGCUAAACGGUCGGAUUAAUGGAUGGGCCGAACAAUACCUUCUUUGGCGGGGAAAGAGAUUUUAAUCAAGGCGGUUGCUAUGGCCUUGCCAAACUAUGCGAUGUCUUAUUUUAAACUACCGGUCAAAUUGUGUAAAGAUAUGGAGAGGCUGAUUGCAAAUUACUGGUGGCGUGGAAACAAACGGACUAAGGGCAUGCAUUGGAUUUCUUGGGGUAAUGAUGAACCCCACCUCAUUGCUGGCUCGUGUUCUCAAGGAAAAAUACUACCCGGAUAGACCAUUUAUGGAGGCAAAACAAGGGAGGCGAUCUUCGUGGGGUUGGAAAGGUACACUUCAGGGACGUCAUAUUUUGGAGCGGGGGCUAAGAUGGAGGGUUGGAGAUGGGCAGAGUAUCAGGAUUGUACAUGAUCCUUGGAUUACGUUCCGUAUACGGUCUAGGCAUGCGGAGAUGCCGGUGAUGGUAGGGGAGUUAAUUGAGCAUUCUACGGGAUCGUGGAAAAAGGAGUUGGUACUCAACUAUUUUGAAGAGGAGGAAGCAAAACUUAUACUGGGGUUGCCAAUUAGUUUCGAUGGUUGUCAUGAUAGACUAAUUUGGCAUUAUUUUAGGAAUAGAGAGUACACGGUCAGAAGUGGCCCUGGAAUGGCUAUGGAUCUUCAAGCGAAUGGGGAAUUGGGUAGGAAGGGUAUGGGAAUGUUUGGCAAGAUGUAUGGAGGCUAAGAGUACCAAAUAAACUGAAGUUUUUUCUAUAGAGGUGUUGCAACAAUACUUUGGCGAUGCGAAGGAAUCUAGCCCGAAUGAGGAUGUGAGUGGAGACGACAUGCGUUUUGUGUUUAUGUAUGUUCAGCGGAGUGGCAACCUCGAUACCCAUGCAGUGGCUUCCUAUGCUACCUCACGUGGUGGUUCGUUCCUGUGGAAUGCUUAUGGUCCUGAAUUUCAUUUUAAUAUUAUUGCAGAAGACCCAUGUAUGAUAUUACUAUAUACUAAAAUCUAGUUUUAAAAAAAUUAAAAAAAAUAAAAAAAAUAAAAAAUAAUAAUAAAAUAACUCUUUCACCAAUAGUGAUUUGACUGUUUUGCCCCUGUCUCACUGUUUCUUUUCUUUUUUAUUUUUCAAUAUGUACAAUAAAAUGACUAAAAUGCCCUUUAGUCAUCUGCUUCUUUCCGUUCCCUUCGCUUUUCCUUUCUUUCUUUCUCCUUUCUUUUUAUCCCGACUCUCUCUCCUCGCAACUCACUCCGGUUUGUCCGACUAAUUUUCUUCGAAUCUGGGCACAGCGUGGCUCGGAUCACCCCUAAAUGAUUUCUAUUGAACUCAGGUGAAUCGUAGAACAAUUGCAUGUCAAUUUUCAUUUGGGUUUUAUUGCUUUCACCCCUUCUUAUUUAGUCAUUUGGAGGGUUUUGUAUGUUUCUUGGGUGUUAAUUAUAUUGGUUUUAUUGAUUUUUUUUUUUGUAUGAAUUUUGUUUGAUAGGAGGCCGGUUCAGUGUGUAAAAGAUUGUAUUGGUCCUCUGUAUUUGAGGGAAUAUUGUCAUAUAAUCACUAUAAUUUUUGCAUGGGUUCAAGUUAAUUACUUCGAGGGUGAACUAAUGUGUCAUAUAUGUUUCAAAGAUAUGAAAUAGAUGUAGGAUUCAUAAAGGUAAUUAAGGUAAUAUUUCUGCAAGAUUGAGCAAAAGAGAGGAUCAAUUGAAAGAUGCACAACCAUGAAGCUAAACAUUAUGGUAAAUAUCUGGAUAUGAAUACUGCUUCCAAUCCCCGUAGAGAGGCCGGGAAGAAUUGAUUGAGAAUAACAAGACGAUUGACCCAUUUUUUUCAUCUUAAAUAAAAACAUCAUGCCCUAAACGCGAAGGUGAGUAAUAAGCAACCGAAAAGAAGAAAAAAAUAAGAAAACCGAAAAGAAUGCUUUUCAAAGUGUAUUGAUUAUCAGUGGUCACGUAAAUUCCAGUAUCCCCUUUUCUUUCACAAUCUAAAAUGGAAACAGAGGAUUUGCUAGUUCAUUGUGACGCUUAGCUCACUCCCCCACUUCCUUAGUAUAGAUAAUAUCGUUUGUUUAAGAAAAAGAAAAAAUUGGAAACAGAUGAUUUAUAGAGAUUGCUCACACCCCCAAAAGACUGUGAUACUAAAAUUAAUUUAAAGUUGCAUUCAACUAAUUGAAACAUUAUACAAUACUAAAUGGCUUAUUAUAUUAGCAUCCCACAAAUUGUUGAAUAAACCUCACAUACUUAAUACCCUCACAUUUGCUUUUUCAAUGAAAAAUUAACUUAAUACAUCCCACAUACUUCCUUAUAAUACUCUCACAUUCUCAAUAUACACCUUACAUUUUCUACAUGCACCCCAUAUUUUCUAUACAUCCCACAUUUCUCAAAUCUUAUAAAGCUUUUAAUUUGGACAAAAAAUGUCGACUGGAAUUUUGACAAAAGAUGCCGCUUUAAAGCAUAUGUGGGUUGUUUUCAAUUCCACCAUUAAAACUCAUGUUGUCUGUUUUUAAUAUUUUGUGGUAAUUUUAAGUGUUUAAUUCUUCAUAUAAUCCAUGUGAUCCCUAAAAGAUGAAUACGAACAUAGAAGCUUGAACAACGCAGCAAAAGCAAGAUUAAAUAAUUAUUGAUGUCAUCAAAAUCACUCAAACAAUAAAAAAAUAUGAAGUCUUACUUCAUAUGAAGCUUCCGAAACAUCAAUUUCGUGUUUCAUUCGUCAAAAAUAAUUUUUCUCAAUCAACAUGUUUGUAGUUUCAUUGGUUAAGGUUUUGUUCAACAAUAAAGGGUCAGAGAUAUUUUGAUAGUUGAAGAAGAUAAAUAAUACGUUAAAAGUGAUUUGGGAUGUAUUUAGAUUUUAUUUUUAUUUUUAUAAACCUAAUAAGGUCAAAAUUGUCAUUGCAUAGUAGGAUAAAUAAAUUAUUUAAUAUUAAAUUUCAAUGUAGAUUGCAUUCAACAUUUUGGGGGAUGCUAGUAUAAAAAGCCUACUAAAGUUCACAUAGUAAUUGCAAUACAUUUUAAAAGUCAUUAAGAUUAUGGAAACGUAAUUGCUGGAGUUGUUAAGAAAUUUGUAUAGCUUGGGCGGGCUCUCUCGUUGGAUUGCCCAUCAACCGCACUUUCCUCCUCCUUAGACCUGUCAUCCAACUUAUAUAGGUUGUGCAACGUAUGUCAUUUUUAAUACUAUUUUUCUUUUAUGUAUCAUCUGAUAUGAUUAGAGACGUUAGUCGGAAGUGCAAUUUGAAACAUUUCAGUGCCAGAUAUGUUCAUCCUGUAAGGCUAUAUAUGCUUUAAAACAUAGGAAAACUAAUGAAAAUGGCUUGAAAACUUUGAGUUUUAAUGAUAAGGACAAAAUAAAGGGUAAAGUGAAUAGUACCAGGAUUGACUUUUUAGUGUAAAAAUGUGGUUUUUCGUUAAAGUGAACAGUACCGGAUGCUUUUCGUUAAAGUUCUCUCAUCAUCAUUUCUAUUAUAAAGGCAAAUAUGUUUAACAAUCAAGGGUGUUUCGUAAGUCUUUGUUUGGUAACUGAGAAAAUGUGAUCCCAUCUUUUAGUUUCUUUUUUCUUUCUGUUUUUGUGAUUUUGAGAAUUUUGUGGGAUUUUGAGAAUUGCACUGAUUAAAUCCAAUUUAAUUUUCUAAGUUAAUAAAAAGAAUUAUACCAAUUACCCAAAUACUCAGUAAUUUGGUUUCAAAACUAAACAAUCUAUUUGUGUGUGACGCUCUUUUUUCCUAGUUCGGGUUGAAAUCCCGGGCAUGUUUUUAUCGAAACCCUUGUAUACAUACUCUCUCCUAUUUGUAUUUGUACUUAUUCUCUUCCAAUAAAUGAAUAUCGUUACUCUUUUCAAAAAAAAAAUAAUAUUAAAUAAAAACUAAACUAAACAAAUUGUUUAGCAUGUGUAAUUUAUUGCAGGCUCCGUGAUCUUAAACAACUUGGUGAGUUCAACUUACAAAUGAAUUAGCAAUAACAAAUGUUAAGACUUACAAAUAUCUAGGAUAUUAAAUUUCAAGAUAUUGAUUGAUAUGCUGACAUAACCUAAUAAUCUCUUUCCCCAACUUCUUGAAAGUGAGUUACCAAUUUCAUUUUGUUUGUGAUUGUUACUGUGUGUAUAAAUACAUGUAUUAAAUUUGGUAUUUUGGGUUGAAGAGAGGAGAAGAGGGAAGAAAGAGAGAAGGAGGAUAAUUUUAGAAAUUGAAGGUAGAGAGUAACACUAGGUAGACAAAAAUAUAUUUGUGCUUUCACAAUUAACCGCUUAAUAACAUAACAUUUUAUAGAUGGUAUUUGUUAAUACGUUUCGAAAGAACGGUGUUUUUUUAAUUUUCACCAUUUUCAGUAAAAUUGUUGGUAUUUAGCGAAAAGUAAAAUAUAGGUAGUUGAUAUUCACUCACAUUUGUCAUUACUAUUUUGUGCAAGGAAUAGCAUAUCCAAGAUGCUACAACAACCAUAAAAAAAAUAAAAAUCACCACACAAACAUUGCAAGGAAUAAUAUAUCCAAGAUGCUACAACCAACCAACUCAAUCAAGCUUGUGCUUCCUAAUCACAUGUUAUAUAAACAAAUGACACUCCAAAUCCAAACGAAAUCACUUCUAACUAUAAAGCACUAUCAUACAUUAGGCCAACGAUGCUGCUGUCCUCGAAACGUUGGAUUGAGCGUCUUCGAAUUGAUCAUGGUUUAGCUUCUCGGAGCUCAGGCUCGGUGGGAUGAAAGCUCUGUAAACUUGCUCCAUGUUAGGAAUCUCCUUGAGUUCGUGUGCGGCAACUUCAAGCGCAGUGUGUUGGAAAAAAUGGUAGAAUUUUUUGCUGCAGAUGAAGAUAUAAAGCAAGGACAAGAUAGGAAGUGGAAGUAAGAAUGGUGCAUAGACGAAUUUCUUCACCCCAAAAUAACCAAACAUGGUAACUUGGUACAGUAUCAGAGAUGCAAUGAGUCGAACUUGGAUGUGCGGCCACAUCCUGCCAUAGCUUUCAUACGAUGGAACGUAAACUUUGAGUGCCUGCUCGAUGAAACAACAAAAGCUUUAGUUUUCGAUAGCAUAUGCUUGCUUAGGAAACAAGUAGGCUAAGUUGUAUAUCAUUUCAGUAGAGUUUUUCGACUAAAGACUUGCAAGCUUGAAAAAGGCUGAGGAUACCUGAUUUCGAAGGACAAGCCAUCCAAGGCCGAAGUAAAGCACACCAAAUGGAAGAAUCAGCGGAGCAAUAACAGAGUAGCAGAGGACAAUUGUAAUGAUGAGCAUAUCACCAGGUACUCUAGUCCCAUAUCCAAGAUCACUAGGAAACCAAGCUGCCUUCACCUCAGCUUCGGUCUUACAGACAUACUUCCUCUUUAUAUGGAAAAUGAUCAGAGGAACUAGUCGGAACAGUUCAAGACCAUAUCCAACGAAAAACCUGUCAUCAAAGCAACAGUAAAAACCAGUUUACUAAUAAAGGAGUAAUUUAGAUAGUGUGGACAAAUAGUAAAGUAUUUUGCAAUCUUGUUUCGGUUACUGAUAUGGAAAAUAAGAGCUAGAAGACAUAAACUGUUACUUACUUCAGGGCCACAAAGGUGAGGAAGUAAGUUGCAUUGGCAGGGAGGCUGGUUGCAAGUAAGUCAACAAUAGAGUUAGGAUCCUUCUCGAUAGUCUUGAAUGUACUGAAUAAGGUUCCACCUACGGUAACUCCAAUAAAAACAUUGAAGACAGUGAAGUAGAAGUAUUUCCCGGAAGAAGCCCUUACUGCAUGGCUCAGGGAAGGGAUUCCCUCAGUCUUAGACAAAAACAGAAGGAACUUUGGCAAGAAAGCUAGAAAGAGUAUGAGUGCAAUUUGAGGUAGAUAAGCCUCUAGCACUGUCCUAAUCGCCUUUUGCUUCAAAAUUGGCUUUAGAAACGGAAGAAGUUUCUUCAGAUUCUCCAGAGUUGUGAAUGCAGAGAUAGCGGCAAUGGGAACCAUAAAAAACAAAACGGUCAGAGCCACAAUGAUAUACACAACAUAUUGCCGCACCUGUCUCUGAAAAAACUUGAUUUUGAGAUUACGCCAAAGUAGUUGACGAGGUUCAGGAGCCUCUGUGACUAUCCACGUGUCAACAAGUUGGGCAUGUAGAGUCUGAGCUGCAGCAGCUGCAGUCACCCUACUGGUGAAAAAAACUAGAGCGGCAUUUUGCUGCUUCUCUCUGAGAGUGGCUUUCUGUUCAGCCUCCAGUUUUGGGGUUAAUUCAUUAAUCUUCUUAGUGUAGUAAUCAAUACUGUCUACUUUUGCCCCACAAAGACCAAGGAACCCGGUUUUGUUAGUGGGUCUUGUUCCUUCUGAUUUGCCAGUGUCCUUCGAUAUUGCAUAAACUGCUUCAGCGCGCGCAAGCUUCUUCUUAUACCCUUCUAACUCUUUCCAAAUUUUGUUCACCUAUAAGAAUAGCGUUAAUAUGAAUGGAAGAGAAAUACUACUCAAAUGAGGAACACACCAUCAAACAGUCGUUUUACCUAAGCGAUGUUCCGAGAUAUAUAUGACAGUUAACAAAGGCGCAAAAUGAGGAGAAAAGGGGGAAAAACAAGCAUACCUCUUUGUUGUCUGUGACAACCAAUGAUCUGUAAAAUGUAUCAGGGUAGAUGGUCUUAAAAUAAGAAUCGACCUGUUCCUUUCUAAUUUGACCUUCGGGGACGUCAGGUAUGUCUCUGACAAGAAUGGCAAAUUGUUCUGGCUUCGCUUGAGGAGACAUUAGAGCACUGGCUCUCAGGUUGGAGGCAUGUUUAUAUGCCUUCCACAGCAAGACGUAUGUGACAAAAGAAACCCAGUAGACACCAACUAGAAAUGCCCACAACCUAGGACUCUUCUCCUGCACAUACAGAAAGACAUAUGAAAAUACAAUCAGCAUUCAGAAUACAAUUCAAUUGAGAGAAUUAUACCAAAAACCACAGCUGCAAUAAAUCAAAGGGAAAAGAAAAAAAGACCAAGACAUUUCAUGAAAAUGUUUUGUAGCUUACCUUGAGAUGUCCCAUGGAUAAGUGGUCAAGGUCACUAAAAGUGCCAUUGCUUACGCUUGCGUCGGCUAACUUAUGCGCUUCUUCGGUGGCAGCAACUGACAGAAGAAUUGGUAGCAGAACAAUGCUAGAUAAAACCAAUAUACCCAACACUGCCACAUCAAAUAGGAAAGUUAGAACCUUGAGAUUUCUGGCUUUAUAAAUUAGGCCAACCAUUGCAUACUGUUAUUCCAAAACAUGGAAGCAAUAUAAUCGCAGGAAGUAAAGACAAAAACAAGUACAUUAAAACUCAAGAAAUUCAGUAUGUAUUAUGUAACCAAGGUUUCAAAUUCUUCCAGACAGAUUGAAACUGUUAGUAAUUGGUCAAAAUUGUUAUACAACUUACUACUUCAGUCAUAACUACGCUAGUAUGAUAUCGAAAAUCAUCAGCGAAGUAGAAGAUUAUCAAUUCCAAAGCAACAUCUUUCUUGUAAAACAACUGUGGUCAGGUGCCAAUGACAUAAAUUCCCUUCAUUUUACACAAAUCCAUAGUUUUUAGAGUAUAAGCAAAACUGGUACACACUCUUCCGUAAUACAAAUAUUGUCGAAACGUUGAAACCAUUCUAAGAGUUCCAGAUUUCACUUCUCAAAGCCAGAAAUAAAUUAACUUUACCAAUUUCAUCAAACAAACUUCAUCUAUCCAAAUUUACAGCAGUAAAAAAGUUAGAAAUCUGAGAGAAAACUUCUAAAUUAGUCCAUCCAACAAAAACAACCACAAAGCAGCAACAAUUUCAAACUUUUGAGCAAACGGAACAGAACCCAGAAACAGUAUCAUGGUAAAAGCAAAGGAGACAAAGUAAAUUCGAAAACUGUCAAACGGUUAAAAUGGCAGAGAGACAAACAAACCAGUGCUCAUGAACACAAAGUACACAGCAGUGUCGACCCCUGACACGGAAAUAAUUUCCUGCUCAGUGGAAUACAGAGCCUCUUUGAUCCAAGCAAACGGGUUCCGGGUCAUGGACCCGCCCUCCCAUGGAUCCAACCCUCUCAAGAUCCGAUUCGGAUAGUAAACCACAGUGUUCCCAGGCUUUCUCGAAAGCCAUGUGAACAAAAACAUCAGAACCACAAAUAUGAGGAAGGAAGUCCCUAAGGACGUCAAGAACGAACUGAGAUCCAUCUGGGGUUUUCUCUAAAUUGCCAAAGAUUCAAGCUUUUUCUCUCUCUAAGCAGUUUGGAGUGAAAGUUCUAGUGAGAGAGAACAUGCACAGAAGCAAUAGAAAAUCAGAUAGGAAUGGAAAUAAAACGAGAGAAAAUGGAGGGUUAGAGAGAGAGAGACACGUUAGAGGACAUUAAAUUAGAGGAAGGGAAAAGUAACCGUUGGAGGAGGGGGUGGAGGUGGAGGAGGAGGAGGGAGAGAAUUAAAGGAAGGUUGAUAGCUUUUGGAGGUUGUGAAGUUAAAGUCCACGAAAGGCAAUGCAAAUGCCAAAACCUAAAUCAAUGACAAGAAAUGAAAAUAUCUUAAAGCAUAAUUGGCAAGUUGUGGGGCCCUUUUGAUUAGUUGGUACUUUCUAUUUUGAAAAUAUUUUUGCUAGAAAUGGUUAUGAUAACUACUAAUCUAUUUAUUACUAUAAGAUAAGUUUAAAUUUCGAGAUAUAUUUAAUAAAUAAACAUAAAUAUCAAAAUUUAAAUUUAUCUAAUUAUUGUAAAUGAAAUAAUAAAUAUUAUUAUCACUUGAAAGUGAUGAGAAAAGUGCACCUCCUUUAUUUUUUAGGGACAAGGAAUUGAAGUGUUUUAGUUGAAAUGACAAAAGUACGAAUAGAAUGCAUCACAAUCACUCUAUAAAAUUCCAUUAAAUUGGUGUGGCUCCAUCUGAGCCUUAAAAUAUAUUAAAAACUUUAUGUGUGAAGCGGUUCACGUACCAUUAAUUUGUUGAUUGCAAUGAUAUCGACACAUAUUAAUUUAAAUAAUGAAAGGUCGGUAUCAUAUGGACAAUCACAAACUACAUUGUACAUGUUUUUAAUUAUGUGGAGUAAUUACUUUUUAUUAUGAGAGAUUGGGAGACUCUGUAUUUCCAAAGAUGAAAAUGUUGCUUGCAGGAAACAUUAAGGUGGUAAAAACGGGUAAUCUGCAAACGUGUGACGGUGCCUUUAAAUAGAAGAAAGAAAAAAAAAAGAUAGUUACAAUUAUGUAUUGAUAUUGACAUUUUGUAUAGAGCUUUUCGUUUGAAUGUCAUACAUUUAUUAGAAAAUUCAUCAAUUUGAUCGUUAAACUACUGACGUGGCAAGCGUAAGGCCACUCUCUUGUCCACAUGAAUUGAGAAAUUAAUUAUAAGAUGAGGUAUAAGAUAAUUUUUUUCAUUAUGCUAUACACAUAAGCAUAUUAGAAUUUUGGUUUGCAGAGGUAUUUCACAUGCAUUGUAAAUCACAAAUUAACACAUACGUAAAAAAUAAAAUAUUAUUUACACUAAAGAGUAAGCGUAUGAACUCAACUUCACAAUGAUUUAGGUAUAAAAAAAAAAUAGUUCAAAUUUAUCUAUAGCGAGAAUUGAACCUAAAACCCUUCACUUUCAAAUGAAGAGGAAUUUAAGACAUUUAAGAUUCCACCGUAAACUAAUUGGUAAUAUAGAAAGUAACUCAAUUACUUAUGAGCAUAUGUAAUGUUCCUUAUAUCUCCAGUGUGAGAUUCAUACUCUCAACAAGAAUACCACUUGACCAUAAUGCGUAUACUUACGCGACUUACAUUGUAAAAGUAAUGAGCUAAGUAUUUUCCUUAUCAUUUUAAACUUUAGGUGUAAGAUCCCACAUUGUCCAGGGAUGAGGAUCUUGUAAGCCUUAUAUGUAUAUUCUUAUCUCUACCUAGCACGAGGCCUUUUGGGAGCUCACUAGCUUCGGGUUCCAUUAGAACUCCAAAGUUAAGCGAGUUCACGCGAGAGCAAUCCCAUGAUGGGUGACCCAUUAGGUAGUUCUCGUGUGCCCAUGGGUGAGGAUCUUGUAAGCCUUAUAUGUAUAUUCUCAUCUCUACCUAGCACAAGAUCUUUUGAGAGCUCACUAGCUUCAAGUUCCAUCGAAACUCCGAAGUUAAGCGAGUUCGCGCGAGAGCAAUCCUAGGAUGGGUGACCCAUUGGGAAGUUCUUGUGUGAGUUUCCAGAAACAAAACCGUGAGGGCAUGGUCGGGGCCCAAAACGGACAAUAUAGUGCUACAAUGGAAUCGGACCCGGAAUAUGGUGGGGGCUUGAACUGGGAUGUGACAUUAGGGCCUUUCAUUAUCUUUAUAAAAAAAUUGUGGAAAGACAUUUGGGUUGAGAUUUUAACUAAAUUACUGAAUAAAUAAUCAUAAUUAGAUAUAAAAUUCAUCGGCUAUAAGAGUCGAAAUCAUUUACGUCGGCUAUAAGAGUCGAAAUCAUUUACAAAAGAAGAAUAAUAUGCGGGUAAUGCAGUGGAAAUGGCUGGCCUUUCAAUGUGACUUUUCAUGUUAAAUAUUAAAGAUAGUGUUUGGUGAGUGAGGUCGGCCAAGUGCUUUUUCGACUUAAAAAACAAUCUUUUGUGAUUCUGUUUCUUUUUGUAUGUGGGUGGAUUCUUUUCUCUUGUUUUAUCAUCUCUUCUCUUAUACUCUUUUGUUGUUUUUUUUUCUGUAUAAACAAUUCAAAGUAAGAUAUUAACUUGUUUUAAUCGUAAAGCUUAAAUAGAAAGAGAGAUUAGAAUGGAAGAAAAUUCUACUGCUCUGUAUUGGCAUCUAACAAUUAUAUUUGUGAGAUGUUUUAAUCAAAGUUAAACCCAUAAUUGGUAUUUGAAGUCUUUCGUAUUAAGGAAAACAUGUACCCUUUCCACCACUAACACCCAUUUCUGCGAUUGCAUUAUGUCAAAUAGCCCUUGGACAUGUGUCUUUUGGGUUUAUUUUAAUCAUAUAGGUUUUGGGAUUAAAUUGUGUCAAAUAGCUCUUUUUUUUUCUUAAAUAUACUAACUUGGUAUUAGUAACUAAAGAAAAUAACCGUGUGAGAAGAGGAGGAAUGCAAGAAAAAGUAUAGAAUUUUUAGGGUCCCAUUGAAAAAUAAGGAGGGGAAAUUGCAGGAGGUUUCAAAAUGCUUCAAAUUGUAUGAGGUUUCAAAUUUUGGAAACAGCUUAUGCAACACAAGAAAUGACAACGACUAUCAAAUUCUUAAACCCUUAAAUUCUAAAAUUCAACCGCAAUUCGGAAACCAUAUUUCAAUCUCAAAAUCCCCAAGUCGAAAACCAUAAUUCCAAUUCAAAAUCACCGAAGUUCAGUUGAGUUUCUUUUCACCUCUCGCUCUUGUAAUGGAGCUACGCAUUUGGUGACAACUCACAUCACGCGUGUGGGGGAUGUCAUAGGUGGGAUUGUUUUGAACCGAAGUGGUUGUUUAAUACUCUGGCACAUGAUGUAAACAUUUCAAUUCGUAACUAAUAAUAUUAUACUCUUUGAAAAAAAAAUCCCUCAUUCUUUUCAAAAUUUCUAAUUUCAUGUAUGUAUAUUUUUUAGGGAGUUUUAACAAAACACUACCGAUUCACUUUUAACGAAAAGCCACAUUUUUACCUUUAACCGUUACUAUUUACUAUACCUUUAAAAUGGGUUUUUUAUUAAAAUGAAAAUUUUUAUAGACUUUUUGUUAAUUUUUCUUAUUUUUUAUUAUAUUCAGUUCGGUUCGAUAUUACCAAACUUACGUCGGUGAUCCUAAUUUCAAUACCGAUGUUUCAAGAGUGUUUAAUUUCAGUUACCAAAUGAUUCGAUAAUAUCGGUUCCAUUUCUUUUUUUUUUUAAGUUGGAUUUCGAUAUGACUCGGUCGGGUUCCUUUUUUCGUUUUUUUUUUUCGACCCUACUUUGGAGUGUCCACAAGAUAAUAUCGGCGCGGUUUGGUUUUUUCUUUUUUUAUGUCGGGUUUCGAUAUGAUUCGGUCGGGUUCAUGUUUUUCAGCCCUACUUUGGAGUGUCCACAAAAUGGCCCUUACCUCUAUUUUGAAACGGUAAAUAUAUGAGAUUCAAGAUCUUCUUUUCCAAUAAUUUAAUCUAUAUUUUUUUGACAAUAAAACAAUAAUAAUAAUAAUUUAAAUAUUUUUAUUUUGUCAAUUUGUCCAGGUCUUGCAGAUAUCGAAAGCUGCUGUUCAAAUUUUAGGCCUCUAAAAUAUAUUAGUGCUUAAUACGGGAAAAACUUUUUCGAUGAGUGGAUUAUAAAUGUUUUAUGAGUUCUAAUUAUUAGCUAUUAUUCAUUAUGGAUAGAUAUAAAUGUGUAAAAGAAGACAGCAUAUUGAUAAAAGAUUUUUCAAAAUUAAAAGAGCGAUUGAAUUGAAAAAAUAAGGGAUUUGUAAGUUAAAAAAUUUAGAUUCUCGUUAAAUGUAAACUAAACUUUUUUUUUUCUUAAUUUAAUGUUGAUAAUAUCGCCCUUUAGAAAAGAAAAAAAAAAAGUUAGGUUGCGAAAGUUGGCAUUUGACGAAAGUUACGGCUUUAAAUUAGGUAUUAGUUGGAACUUGGGUACCAUGCCACCUCAACGUCAGUAUUCACCCUCAAAUGCAAACCAGCAGUUGUCUUAAAUGCCAGCCAACACGUGUCAACACAAGUACUCUGCCGACAAACAGUGUACGUGACUUAUGACCGUUGCGCGUUCGUAACGCAAUCCGUUGCAAAGGUCCCAACUGACGUGGAGGGACCCAGUUUCGGAUAAGUGGAUUUCUUUCUGUUUUUGUCCGAUACGAGUCAGUGUUGUUUCCGCGUAUUUGUUUUGUCGGUUUUUGCAGAGCUUACAGAUUGUAAUUUGAUGCCACGCAGUGCACAAGAGACUCGUGGGGCCGUUACACGUGGGAGCACAGUAUGGAGGUUGAGAAGGACUGUUGUAUGAGAAGGACCGGACCGAAGGAGUUCGACCCACGUAUGGAUGUGGCAAGUUUUACCUAGUUUAUGUUAAAAAUAGUCAGGUCAUCUCCAACCGAGGAUUGGCCAGAUGACUCAUUUUAACCAUCUGAUAUUCUAAGAUAUUAAUAUUUUAAUAAACAGUACAUAAUCAUAUUUAUCUCCGUCUCCAACCGAGAGCCAAACAUAAUUUAUUAUUUAAAAACUACAAAUUUUGUGAAAUAGAAGUUAUAGGAAAAAAUGGAAUUUAAAAAAAAUAUGAAACAAAUUUUGUAAAAUAAAAGUUAUAGGAAAAAAGUAGAAUUUAAAAAAAUAAAAUAUGCACCAAAUUUUGUAAAAUAGAAGUUAUAGGAAAAAAAUAGAUUUUAAAAAAAAAUAUGAAACAAAUUUUGUAAAAUAGAAGUUAUAGGAAAAAAAAUAUGAAACAAAUUUUGUAAAAUAGAAGUUAUAGGAAGUUAUAGAAAAAAAAGGUUUAAAUUCAUAAAUAAAAAAAAUAAUUGAAUGCAACGGCUAGCUGACUCAGCUAGCCGUUGUAUUCAAAAUUUUCAUAUUAUUCGUGUCGGUUAUAACCAACAUGAUUGCAAUUAAUCAAAAUUAUUCCUGUCUAGCAAUUACUAUUGGUGUUGGUUAUAACCGACACUAUUGCGAUAAACAAAAUUAUUCAUGUCGAUUAUAUCCGACAGUUUUAAGCAAAAUUAUGGCCAGCCCGGGGCUGGAAAGGGCUAACCCUCUGGCCCUUUAGCCCUUUCAGAUUCCAUGGGGCCUACGAGUCAUCUGGCCUAGCCCUCGGUUGGAGACGGUUUUCAGGCUAUUUUCGACCCUCUGAUCCUCUAUACCCUUCGUUAGAGAUAACCUAAAUAUAUUAUAAGGACCAAUUUCCAAUCGUAGUAACAGAUGAAAGUCGUAUGCCACUCACAUGUUUUACAAUACGUUAAUUAUGUGAGUGGAUGACGAUUCAGCUGGAUUGUUACGGUUGGAUCCAUCAAACUCUUCAAUACAUUAGCGGUUAAACUCAUUUAUGCUUGCAUGCAUACGAGCAACUGUACUUAAUACUAUUAGCUGAUUUAUUGUAGGACUUGGAUUCUCUGCCCUCCCAAUUCGGUGCCCUUCCCGUGCCCUCUUGUUUGUGUGGUCACGGUUAAGCCACGUCAAUAUUUUAUAUUACUAUUUUUCUUUUGUCUUAUUAUUUUUAUAAAAAACAAUAUAAAAUGUUAGCAUGGAUUAACUGUGACCACACAAAACAGGAGGGCACGGGGAGAGCACCGAAAUGGGAGGGCAGAGAAUCCAAUUCCUUUAUUGUAUGCUAUGAUUCAAUAUGAAAACAAUGAUUGCUUCCUUGGUUGAUAAGCAAGCAGACUUGAAAGCUUUCCAAUUAUUGAUCCCACACAAAAUCAAUGAAAACUACCUGUGAAACACGAGAAAAUUUUCAUUUUGUUCGAAAUAUGUAUAUAUAGUACAUCACGUGUCAUUAUAUAAAUACAGAGAAAUGUUAUUUUUUUAUGUUAUUAAUUUUUAAUACAAGUAUUGCACCACUUGUAUAAUAAUACGUAACGUAUCAUCUCGUGUUCCAAACACAUUGCAGAAUUUCUCGUAAAAUACAGGAAAAGUAGGGUUCCAUUCUAGUAAGCUCUUUCGAUAAGGAAAGAGAUCUGCUUCGGAUCCCUUCCAUCAAAGUCACUAAAUUCGUCAAUUCGGGUUCUUGAAAUUUGAUCUAACGGCUAAAGUUAUUAUAAUUUUUUAAAGAGACCUCUAUUUUUAGCCGUUAGAUCAAAAUUUAAGAGUUCAGAUUGAUGAAUUUAGUGGAUUUGAUGGAAGGGAUCUGAGGAUCCCUUUCCUUUCAAUAAUGCAUUGCAUUCCUAUUUUUCGUAAAAUACAGGAAAAGUGGGGUUCCAUUCUAGUAAGCUCUUUCGAUAAUGAAAGGGUUCCAUCAAAUUCACUAAAUUCAUCAAUUCGGGUCCUUGAAAUUUGAUGUAACGGCUAAAGUUAUUAUUAUUUUUGAAAGAUAUCUCUGUUUUUAGCCGUUAGCUCAAAUUUUAAGGGUCCAAAUUGAUGAAUUUAGUGGAUUUGAUGGCCCUUUCCUUUCAAUAAUGCAUUGCAUUCCUAUUUUUUGUGGCUCAAAUGAUGACACACCAGUAAGACACAAGAAAAGUGGGAUCCUAUUUUUGUUGUACGUGGUGGUACUGAUACCUGAUUAUACAUGGAAGAAACUACAUUGUACUUCCUUUUUUUUUUUUUUCGUUAAAGUAAUCUUUUUUUUUUUUAAUAUGGUUUGGUGAUUGUCGCUUGGCUGCAGUGACUUCUUAAGUUUUGUAUUAGAGGAAUUUUGGUUCUUUGUUCUUCCUCUUUUCUUAUAUUUAUUUUCUUCAAGUUGCAAAAGAGUCAUUUGUUCCCUCUUCGUUUCUAAUUUACGGGAGGUAAGAUUUUUGUUUUUUCUGAUUAAGUGUAACUUGUAUUUUUUAUAUCAAUAAUUUUUUCUCGUACUACUCAUGAGCAAUCUUGAAUUACAUAAUAAUACUACGACAUAAACAAAAUAUGUAUCACCGAUCACAAAAACUAUUAUUUGAGUAUCAGUUUCAUAAAUUUUUUGUAGUACAAGAGUUUAUUUUAGGACCGAGGAAACCCGAGAUCUAGCACAUUAUAAAGGAAGGAGAUGUGGUGUAUAUAAAUACACACACAGAUGCACACUACUUUUUGAAUGGUUUACCCUUGAUAAACUCAAUCGCAUGAUAUCCAUAUGAAAUUGGAAAAAGCUUUGUUCCAACAAAACCUGCAGAUUUUGCUAGGUUAUUAAAUUCAACUGCUGUUCGCUCCUUGCCCCCAGGAAAAAGGGCCAUCAUCAUCAUGUCGAGGCGAGUGUGUUCCUUGUUUCUGGUGUAUUUUCCAGUACUUCAGGUACUACAAAUUCCACAACUAUUACCUUCCUAGUUUCCGGUAACGCAUUCCAACAGUUUCUCAGCAACUUAAUGCACACGUCAUGCCCAGUUAUGAAGUACCCAGUGCAAAGCACAAGGGUAAAUCAAAUUUUCAUAUUGUGAACAUGCAUGAAGUAGUUUUGAUGAAGAGUAAUGCUAAGGAGACGACGUCCACAUCGUACUACUUUUUUAAUACAAACAGAGGCCAUCUCUAUUAAAGAGAUGGUAAAAUGUAGUUCCGCUAACAUUUUCUUCAAUAACUACUAAAAGUAAGCAAAACCGAACCUUCAUCAUUAUCGACUGAGCAUGUGGUAUUGACUCAAACAUAUUUCCCGCAACAUGCUUCACACCUAUAUAUAAAUGAAAUCAGUAAAGAACGUGAGCCAACUAAUAGUUAAAUAGGAUCUGUAGCUGUUGCAUUUGGACCAUAAUUCAAAUAAGAAAGUGUGUGAAUUAAAGGCUAUUUGUUUAAGUAUUUCAGCUUUAGCCAAUUCUUUAUAUUUUGGUUUUAGUUUUCAGUUUUCUAUUUCAAUUCUUGUUUUUUCCAAAAAUUUGUAUCGUAACUGUUUUCACUUUUUCAAAAAAUGACAAUAGAGAACUUAAAUCAAGCCAAAUUUUGAAAACCAAAAACCGAAAACCACUUUUGUUAAUUUUCAAUUGGUUUUCAGUUUUCAGUUCUCUUUGGAUAUACUAACCUUGAUAUUUAGGAGCACGGGCAAUAGCAUCAGGCAAAUCGAAGUUAAUACCAUGGAUGUAGGGAUAUUUAGAUAUACUAUUUUCGCAAGAGAAUUACCCAUGUGCCACCUCCUACGUCCAUCAGCUCUGUCACCUCUUCAAAACCUUUAUAUUCAGUGAAUACCUUUUGAUCAAAACAUAUAGCAGAGUAAGCGGUCAUAGCCUCACUGAACAAUCGACCAAGCUCAGGUCUCUUUGACAUAUGCUCGAAUGUAGUCUCUCCGUGGGCCUUGUAGAAAGGAUCGCACCCCUCUUCAAGCACUCAGUGCUCGAUGAUAGCUUUAGUAUUGGGGCUAGAGAAACUCCAUUCUCAUUGGAAACAAAACAAAGCGAGUCCUUUGUUAGGGCAUAAGUCCUUUCUUGCUUGGACUUAUCAUCUGGGGCAUGGCCUUGGAGAUGUAGAUAGGAGGCAAUUGCGCUCAGCAACCUUAGCAUUCUCUCCAAACUCAACAUUGCAUUUGGAUGAUUUGCAGUCGGAAUUCGAGAAGCGAUUCCUCCGCAGUAAGAUGAGCUCCAGGCCCUGAGUUGGAAAGGAUAUUGAAGACACUUAGGUCAACUGCAGCUCUUAGAACCAUUUGAUUGCAGGUGGAAUUUGUCAAACCCCAAGCUGAGAUGUAAUUUUCUAAACUUAAUCCCUGGCUUUCCAUCUUUUUUUUUUUUUUGGAUUUUCAAGCUCUCAGUCAAUUUUAGUUUGUUGGAUUGCCUUGUUUAUUUUGGCUCCGAGCAUCAGUUCUCUAUAUAUACAGAUACACUUGCAUGCAUGAUACACGUCGUUUUGAGCGGAAAAAAGUGGGUGAGCAUGUCUAGCCAGCUGGGUUUAGCUAAGGGGCGCCUAACCAUAUAUGGCCUCCAAGAAUAGUAGGUUUUUAGGUAGAUAACUCACCAAACUCUUUACAACAACAACAAUCAAGUCUUAUCUCACUAGGUGAGGUCGGCUAUAUGGAUUAUAGAACAUCACAGCGCUCGGUUUUGCGACGUAUCUUUUGUUAGCUCCAAAUACUCCAUAUUUUUCGUUAAUUACUCUUUCCAAGUCUUCGUCUCAAACUCUUUGACAAAAAAUACCCACCAAACUCAAGACAAAUUGGAAGGAAUGGAUGGAAACUCUCAAACAUUGUCCAUGGAAUGUUGAAGGUAGAAUACCGUUAGAGCAUUAGUAAGGGAGAAGAAAUGAAGGACCCCCACAUGUAAGACCAUUAGUAAGGGUUAUAAUUAUCACCCUUAAUUUCGUGUAACUAGCCACGACUUUUAGCAAAUUCACCAACAUUUCGUGUAAUAUUUGGCAAAUUCACCGACUACACAUCCCUAAUUAAUAUAUAUCAACGAAUUCAAGUGGGCAUUGGACUAGCUAGAGGUAGCCACGAAAUGAAAGGUUGUCACCAGCGUUGAAGAUUUUAAAGAAUUAUAGAUUAGGGCAUGUCUAAUGCAAGGCAUGAGUGGUGGAUUAUCACAGUGAUUAUGAUCGGUCUUUUUAACUCAUUGUGUUUCAGAUUCAAAUUAUCUUUCCACUCUUUAAUGUAGUUUGAGUAGAAAUUUUGCUUAUUGAAAAGGAAAAUACUUAGGUAUUAUCAAUGAAUACUCACUUUUUGAUUUGGCUCAAUAAAAAAAUGUCACGUGUUUCAUUUUUAUUAAUCCCAAAGAAAAAUUAAUAACAUGUCCAUUAUUUUUUAUCAGAGUAAAUCGUAGCCAUAGUCCUUCAACUUUAAUCAAAUUUGAGCAAUGGUCCCUCAACUAAAAAUCUAUUAUCAUUGGUCCCUCAACUCAUCAAAAUGUGUAGCUAUGGUUCUUUUCGUCAAUUUUGUUAGAAUUUUGUCAAAAUAAGUUAUGUUGGAAGGAUCAUUGCUACAAUUAGAGUUCCUCAACUCAUCAAAAAGUGUAGAUAUGGUCAUUUUUGUUUAACUUCGUCAGAAUUUUGUCAAAAUGAGUUAUGUUGGAAUGACCAUUGCUACAAUUGGGUUAAAGUUGAGGGACCAUUUCUCCAGUUAGAUUAAAGUUGGACUAAUGGUAAUGGAUUUUUAGUUGAGGGACCAUAACUGCAUGUUUUGAUGAGUUGAGGGGCUAAUGAUAUUUGAUUUUUAGUUGUUGGACCAUUGUUCCAAUUGAGUUAAAGUUAAAGGACCAUUGCUAUAAUUUACUUUUUUAUAACAAUUAAACAUGUGUUAAAAUAUCAUUGCACAAAAUUAAAAUGUGAGUAGUACUCAAGUAUUAUCUAUUAAAAAGGGUUAAAUCAUGUUUUAAUGGGUUAUAUAUAUAUAUAUAUAUAUAUAUAUAUAUAUAUAUAUUAUAGACUGAAUAAUGUGUAUUUAAUUAGUAUUUGGGUAAAUAACAAAAAACUACCUCAAUUAUUGGGGUCACGACAGUAUCAUACCUCACCUUUUAAAAUUGACAAGGUCAUACCUCAUCUUUAGAAUUUGGUCUAAUAUUAUACCUUUCGUUAGCUUGACAGUGAAUUUCUCAGUUAAAUUGCUUGAUCCGGGACCAUUUUCUAUUAAAAAAUUAAAAAAUUAAUAAUUUACCUUAAAAAAAAAAAAAACCCAAACACCCAUCUUCCCCUGACCCCUUUCCUUUCCCUGCAACCCAGAUCCUUUCCCCUUCCCUGCAACCCCCGACCCUUUCCCCACCCACGUCAACCCACAUCCUCAUUAUCUGCCGCCCACCCCUCUUCCCGAAAUGGACCUACCCAGAUUCGUAAUCGAAGCCUCCGAGGCCGAAUCAAUGGAAGCAGUCCAACCUCACAGUAUUCAAAUUCUCAGCCCAAAUCGCCCCGCAGGCCACCGAUCAAACCCUCAAGACCUUCAUUUUCCGCAUCGACCGCCACUCCAAGCCCUCAAUUUUCCCCACCCACUACCACUGGUACACCUUCGAAUUCGCCGACCUGCCCCAAAUCCUCCACGUCUACGACACCGUUUUCCACGGCUUCUCUGUGUCUCUCACUCCCGACCAGGUCUCCGCCAUCUCCGACCACCAUUCAGUGUGUUGUUGUGAUCCAGGACCGCCGCCGGAGUCUCCACACUACUCGAUCCCCACAAUUUUUGGGGCUCAGGAACCAGAGGGGGUUGUGGUCGGAAUCGAACUAUGGCUCCGACGUCAUCGUCAGAGUAUUUGACACCGGCGUCUGGCCGGAGCGUCGAAGUUUCACGGAUAAGAAUCUUGGGCCGAUUCUGAGGCGGUGGAAAGGGGUUUGCAGAACUUGACGAAUGAGGGGAGGAGCUGGAGGACGGUGAGGUUGCAGGGAAAGGUGGGGAGAGGUGGGUCUUGGGGGAGAUGUUGGCGUGGGUGGGGAAGGGGUCGGGGGUUGCAAGGAAAGGGAAGGGAUCUGGGCUUUGGAUUUGGGUUGCAAGGAAGGGGAAUGGGUCGGGGAAGAUGGGUGUUUGGGGGUUUUUUAUUUUUAUUUUUUUAAGGGUAAAUUAUUAUUAUUUUAAUAUUUUAUUAAUUUUUUAAUAGAAAAUGGGCAUCGAAUCAAGCCACGUCAGCAUUUAACUGGGAAAUUCACGGCCAAGCUAACGGAAGGUAUAACAUUGGACCAAAUUCUAAAGAUGAAGGAUGACAUUGUCAAUUUUAAAAGAUGAGGUAUGAUACCUGACCCUAAUAAUUGAGAUAAUUUUUUGUAAUUUAUCCUUAGUAUUUUGUAUAUAGUAACAGUUUUCAGAUAAAAGAAUUGAAAAACAGGAUAUAAACUUCUUCUGCUCA